This 88394-nucleotide long non-coding RNA is filed under the name Aquilegia coerulea. RNAcentral describes it as "long non-coding RNA (ACOE_LNC002248)". The record is from RNAcentral. Lineage: Eukaryota; Viridiplantae; Streptophyta; Magnoliopsida; Ranunculales; Ranunculaceae.
UUAUUAAAACUUUUGUGGUAGUUAGAAUACUCAAUGUAUAACAACAUAUAUAAAUUUUGGAAUUUACUGUUGGGUAAUUAAUUCUAAAUAAUUUAUUCAACAUAGUUAUAUUCAGAUAUCCAGUAUAAUUUUACUGCUACCUUUCUGUUUGCGUGGCUAUCAUAGAAAAAUCAUAGAAGACUCUUACUCAACAUAUCUUGAUGAAUUUACUUGUUUUAGAAAAUAGAUAUUAUGAACUAUAAUUUCUAUGUUUAUAAAUACUUUAAAUUAUAAGGCUAAUAUGGUGAAAAAUGGUCAGGAAGUCUGACGUAGAUUGUUUUGGGAUUUCUUUCUGAAAUCUGGUAGGAUUGAGUAAAACAAUUGUUUAAUUAUUUUCUAUAUAUCGAAACGAUUCCAUAUUUUUAUUCCAAGUAAUAUUUUCAUAGUAAAAGGUUGUAUUAAAAAUUUAUGAGAUUUGAGUAAUUAUUUUUAGAUGAGUGAAUUUUGGAAGAUGAAUGUUAUUGUUUGGCAGAUUUAUGUAAAGAGUUUCUUUUUAGCAUAUAUGUUUUCUUUUGGGUUUGUCCUUUUGUUUGAUUGUCAAGUUGAAAUAGUCAUGUACUAAAAGUAUUCGUAAUAUUGAAGUGGAUUAGUAUAUAAUGAUAUGUGAUUUGAUUAAUUAUGUUUAAAGUAACCUGGAAAGUUAUAUUGAUGAACGCCUAGAAAUGGCUCCAUACCAAUGGAUGGUAUAUGAAUAGAAAUGAAAUGAAUACUGAACUUUGGAUUUAAUUAUGGAAUGAUUUGGAAUGCUUUGAUACCAUGGACGAUAUAUAUUCAAUUUGGGAAAUAAGAACGGAAUACGAAAUGGACUUGGAAUUUAAUUGUUUGACAAGGGUUGUGUGAUUGCUUGAUUAGUUUAGUUGUUUUGGUAGUCGCCCAAGCAUUAGUACAUUUGUCGCACCUCUGGACUUAGGUUAAAGAAAUUAAUUAUCACCCUAGACGGCUUAGCCUGCGGGUUGACUCUUUGAUUAUAUUUGGGUAUUUCCUAGACGGCUUAGCCUGCGGAACUGACCCUUCAGACCUUCAUAGCCUUCGGGGUUGGUCUGGGCGCCACAUUAGAAAACUCAAGGGAGCUAUUAGAGAUCAUGAGUUAGGCAUACGUCGAGGUUAGCCAAAACUUGCAGGUGAGCACCCACUUGGGUUUUGGUUUCCGCGUAGAGGUUCUUAACCAUGGUCAAGGCACACUGGUGCAGUGUGGGUAUGGCAAAUGUGUGGAGUGCAUCCUGUGGGAGGUGUACUAGUGAUUGGGCAUAGGUUGUGAUUUUAUGAUUGUUAAACCCGAGCACCGGCUAGAGGCCAGGACGUGGUUUUGUGGUGUUGGAUUCGUUCUUUGGUAUUGUGCUAAGGCUUAUGGUAUUGUAGUGUUUGGUGUUAAUGAAUGAUAUGGGUAAAUUCUAUUUACCUUGAUUAUGAACCGGAGGUAACUAUGAUUAUGUGGAAGAACUGCAAUGUUUUAUUUAUUAUAGUAACUAAUAGUCAUAAUUGGACUUGUCAUUUUGGGUAGAUUGCCAACUAUGAAGACUUGGAAUGAGUCAUUAUGAAUGGUUUGAAUUAAGGGAAUGUAUUUUCAAAUUGAUACAAAGUAUUAGAUAACACGUAACAUGUAUGUGAUUUGGUUUAUCUUUAUUAUAUUUGUCUAUUAUGUAUUAACUCUAUUUUGUAAGUGGAUAGGUCAACUAAUUUAUUUUGUGCAGGUGGAUAGACCUAUCCUUAAAGACAGUUGUUGCUUAGGUAAUGUAUUUGUAUUAUCGAUCAAUUAACAUCGUAAAUAGAUAAAUUAAAAUUGAAUAAUAGAAUUAAACAUGUGAUUAUAUAAUGGAUAAAGAGUUUAAAUAUAGUGGAAUUGGUAUGGUUUUGGCGCAUGCUUAUUGUUUUAGCAUGGAAGAAUUGUUCUUGAAGGUUAAUUAUGUUGGUAAUCAUAUGUUGGAACUUUAUAUUUAUUAUGUUAUUUUGUGGGAAUAUAUUUUCCCCUUGUUUACUCAUAUCGGCCUUUAUGCUGACCCAUGUUGCUUUGUUUUGCACGUGGGUGUGUUCCAUUUGGAAUGCAGGCAAGAGAGGUUAGAGCUAUGGAGCUAUGACAGACCGCUUGUUGGGACCAGUAGAGAUCUUUAGAUGUUUUAUUCAUGUAUUUUGUUGGCGAAAGUUAUGUAUUAUAAUUGAAUGUAAUCAGGUGUACUUUUAUCGUUUGGAUUUUUCUUCACUGUAUUUUAUUUUUGUUGGAUCUAGUUUUUGAGUUAGAAAUUGUUGCGGCCUGGGUUUAUUUUAUUUUUUUAAAUUCGGGUCGUGACAGUGACUACUUGAUUAUUAUAUGUAUUGAUGAUUAAUUGGAAUAACUAAGAGGUGACUAAUUAAUUGUUAUACAUUGAACAUGAAAGAAUAACAUGUUAUGUUUGCACGAUUUAGUUUGUGGAUACCAAUUCUUCCCCUUAUGUCAUCAUAAGAUCUUCUUUUCAUCUCUACCAUAUUCUUAAGUUAGGUUAUUUACAGUUUAUUAUUAUUGCCUCUAGGAAGUAGAAUCAAUCUCAAUCUUAAUUGUUGAUUCCCUUGGUGUUCAUUAAUUAUUGUUUUCUAUUGUGUUUGAGCUAAGAUCUUCACCUUUGAGGUGGGUACGACCAUUGCUUGUUACUUGUCUACUUUGAUAAUCAAUAUAUAUAGGCACAAGAAGAAACUUCAAAUAAAAAUACAAUCUUUUGAAUAGAGGAUACACUUUUUCUUUAUAUCAAAAUGGCGUCGUUGCCACUCUAAGGAACGGAGUUCAUUCAAACACAAGCGAGAAUAGUAGUUUCGGGACAUCAUCCCACUUCUAUCCCUCGCACCCUUAUAUUUUAAUUUCUUUAAUUUAUUGUUUUUAAGUGUCUUGUAGAGUCCUCUUAUUGAUCUUGCAGUGAAGACGGAUUAAAAAAGCUCAAGAAACGAAACCAAAAUCAAAAUUUGAAGAAGAUCACAUAUUUAGGAUUCUUGAAAGUUACUGGUUCAAUCUGGUACCGAUCUCGAGUCGAGUUCAUAUUGGCCUGUAGCAAUCUCGAGUUCUAGUUCUCGACAGGAAUUUUGACACGUGUUGCGUGAUUUUUCCAGAACAUUCCAGAGCACUUUUUCAGUUAAUUUUUUUUCCUGUUAAGUGAUUGUGAGGUGAACUAAGUAGUUUAAUUUUUCCAGCAUUUUUAACAACUUGUAAGAUAUUUAAUUUUUCGAUCCACGAAAGAGUCGCGGUUCUAAUAUUUUUAAAGUAGGUGUUGCUAGGAUUUAUUAUUUGUGUGUUUGUGCCAGAUAGUAGAGCAAGGUUGUGGAGCUAGCCUUGAGUCUACUAAGGAACGACUCCUAAGGACGAUUGAAACCCAAAGAACGGUUUUCCCUUAACCGACUUCAACUCGCCUUCUCCCCACUUUUGUGCGCUUGUUUGGCAAUUUUUAUUUUUUUAACACAAAGUGGGAGGUAAGCAUUUUCCUAACCCUCCUCGAAUCCCAUGCAAGAGGAGUUUCUGUAAUGAUUAGCAUGACCUUGAUUGUUGUUUGAUUUUAAAUUCUCUUUUUACUUGAUAAACCGGGACUGCAAGGCGGACCUGGCCUAACAGUGAAACUUAAUAUCAAUUGAUUGCAAUAUCCUAAGCUUUAAAAUUGAAUCAACUAAAGCCAUGCUAUCACGGUGUUCAUUUGAGACCUUGAGCAAAUAUUUCAACUAGUACCGCGUGAACCAUUCUUUGAUUGGAGCACAAGCUAGGAAUUGUGUUUGGAACCCCUACAGAUUACGUCUAUAGAAUCAUUGUGGUUUUUAAUUAAGGAACGUUACUUACGCACGGAAAACCUCCCACACUUGUUAUUCGCUACUUGACUCUCAAAAUAUAGGAAAAAUUCACAAAGAAAGCUUGGAAAGAACUCAUUGACUUCAUGCUUGGAAGGAAAAGGCGCCUCCUAAUAGCGCAGACAUGAAAACUAAGUAUGAUAAGUAUAUACUUAGUUUUCAUAGAGUCCAGAAGUCUGAUUUGGGCCCAUGAGCUAUCAAACUGAAGGUCUUGGUCCAAGCUAAACUUAAGUUUAAAAUAAUUAGGUUUUGCUUAAGAACUAAUACCUCUAGAAGACCAACAGCAGCAACCACGAAUUUGACCUAAUUUGGAAGUCUUUGCAUGCAAGUAUUAUGCUUUGUAAUUUCUAUAUAAGAGAAGUAGUAGCUAGGGUUUAGGUAGUUCAUGUUGAAGAAGAAAAAGCUUGUAUUGAUCUCAAUUCUUAAUUCUUAUUAUCAAUCAAAUCAAAUCACUUACUUUAUGAUGUUUUGUUAUUUAAUUAUUUAUUCCAUGGUGUCAUCAUCAAGGAUGAGUAGCUAAAUCUCCUUAGGGGGAUGGUUGAAGCACUCUAGAUGAUGCAAAAGCACCAUGUUUGUUCUUAAUGUUCAUUGUGAUUCAAAGUUUUUAAUGCUUAUUUACUUCUAAUUUGCGAUAUGAGGUAGGUAUAAUUAUUUGCAUGUUAUUGUUAUCCAUGUUGUUAAAAUACAAUUGUUAGAGUUUAGGGAGACCUAGCUUUAAUGGUUUUAUUUAUAUUGAUUGAAGAUGUGUAGUAAAAUAGCUAAGAGGUGAUUAUUUCAUAUCUGUAGUUUAUAUCUUUUAUUGGAACCCUUUUGUAAUUAAAUUGAAUAGCUGAGAGGUGACGGUUUGAUUAAUGAUACAUAUUCAAUAGCAUGCAUAAGAGAAUCCCUUUUUAAUUGAGUGGAAUAGCUGAGAGGUGACUACUUGAUUAUUAUAGGUAUUGAUGAUUACUUGGAAUAGCUGAGAGGUGACUAAUUAAUUGUUAUACAUUGAACAUGAAAGAAUAACAUGUUAUAUAUGUUUGCAUGAUUUAGUUUGUGGAUACCAAUUCUCCCCCCUAUGUCAUCAUAAGAUCUUCUUUUCAUCUCUACCAUAUUCUUAACUUAGGUUAUUUACAGUUUAUUAUUAUUGUCUGUAGGAAGUAGAAUCAAUCUCAAUCUUAAUUGUUGAUUCCCUUGGUGUUCUUUAAUUAUUGUUUUCUAUUGUGUUUGAGCUAAGAUCUUCACCUUUGAGGUGAGUACGACCCUUGUUUGUUACUUGCUACUUUGAUAAUCAAUAUAUACAGGCACAAGAAGGAACUUCAAAUGAAAAUACAAUCUUCUGAAUAGAGGAUACACUUUUCCUUUAUAUCAACCACCAAAAAAGAACAAUCGAAAAGCUAGCCUCGCCGAAAUUUGAUAGUCAUCUAAUACAAGGAUCUACGUAUAGAAGGUAAUGAUUAUCCAGGAUUCCCUCUCCCUCGGUCCUCAACUACCUCUGUAUGACUCCACCGAUCCUUGAAAUUAGAUCACUAACAACUCUCUUCCUUACUCUAGCAGGCCUAACCACCUAUUCCGGCGACCCCUUGACAAUUCCGACCCCUUCCUCAGCUACCCUUAAUUGUUCUUCUUGUUGUGAUUGUUCUUCUUCUUCUUCUUCUUUUGAUUGUUCUUCUUCCAUUUCUUCUUCGUAUGAUUCUAUUAUCUCAUCAUCACCAUCCUUUAAAACCUUUUCAUUUUUCAAAGUUUUGCAUCUAGCCAUUUUUUUUGGAGAUCUAGGGUUUAAAUUUGAUGAAAUUGAAUGAAAAUCGAAAGGAGAUGAAAUUGUAGAUGAAAUUAUUGAUCGGAGAUGAAUUUGUAGAUGAAAUCGAAGAAAGAUUACAGAAAAACUGAGAGAGAAAGUGAGAAGAUGGAAAAAUACGGUUUGUUCGGGGUAAAUCCUAACAAAAGUUUUUUGGUUUCCUAAAACCUAAAAAACCUCUAUAUCUGGUCCUUGUGACAAAAUUCUGUUAUCGGUUUUAGAUGGUUAUUACAGGUCGGAGCUCCUCAAAAGAGUGCAGAAGGUAAUGGAUAGAAACAUGAUGACUGUUUGUUCGAACGAAUAUGUAUUUAAAAGAAUUGGGUUUGCUAUUCAGAAAAUUCUUGCAGCGCAGUUUGUACUGCGCUUAUCCUCUACUUUUGUGUAAUUUCUUGAGUUUAUCGAUAAAAUAGUUCAUGUUAAAAAAAAAAACAUAACGACUUGACAUUUUGAAGAAAUAGCCUGGGUUUUCGACACAUACUGUAAGGGGGCUGGCCCAACCCUAAAAUCUUGAGGGCUUUAUCAUCUGAGGGCCGGGUUGCCUGGACACUGGCCAUUUCACACUUCUACUCAACGCUCAAAUAUUCAUUUUCUGUGCUGAAUAAAAUAAGAAAUGUAAAUAAAGAUUAUAGAAGUUCAUUCAAUGUCUUAACCCAUCUCAAUAGGAGAAACCCCAAUUACAGAACCACAAAACACAUGAAACAAAUCAAAUAUAAUAUACACAAGUUGGUAUCUCCUUAUUUUCAGAGUUCUGUAUACACCAUUAUGAAUGGCAAUUGGUACUCAUGAGGAGAGUCCAAAAUGGGAUAGUAGUUCAAUAUAAAGAUGGCACAUCAACCCUUCAUUUAAGCUUCAACUCCCUUAUUGAGAUCAAUUCUGUGAUAGGCGCGAACCUUGAGGGGACCAUCAAUGUGAAGAUUGAGCAUGGUUCUGUAGUUUACAGGUUUCUUCUCAUCCUCUAACUUGAACAUAAAGCAGCGUAACAAGAGAGCAGCGUAGAUCUUCAUCUGUCUGUAAGCGAAUUCCUUGCCCAAACAAAUUCGCGGUCCAGCCUAAACAGAAAUAGCAAGAGGAUGAAAAUGACAUUAAUGGAGUUGGCAAGAUCAUAAGACAUAAAUAAUGGUUAUAACUUAUUCUUGUUUCUUAUAGAAAUGAUUCUCACUUGGAAGGCUGUGAACUUGAAUGGACUCUCAUUGUGAAAGGUGCCAUCUUUGUCAAGCCAUCUUUCAGGACGAAACUCCUCUGCAUCCUCACCCCAAAUGAAUUUCAUUCUUCCCAUGGCAUAAGGCUGGUAGGAUACCAUAUCUCCUUUCUUGACACUAAAACCAUCUGGCAAGGUAUCAUCUGAGAAACAAAUUUUCGCAUCCUGUAAUACAACCACCAUAAAUAAUUAAUACCAUGUUACAGUCCAAACAUGAAAAAUUCACCAAAUGAACAGAAGGUAUAUAUGUUAAUUGACAAACCACAGGAACUGCAGGGUAGAGUCUAAGAGUCUCAGAUAGAGCUGCAUGAAGAUACUGCAUCUUAUCAAGAACAUCCUCAGUCGUCACGUUAGCUGAGAACUCACUGAAUGAAGUGUUAUCUUUCACUUGGGUUGCAUCCUUCACUUCUUGCGCGAUUUUUUCUUGUAUAUCAGGAUGUUUGCAGAGCAUGUAAAUGAACCAGGAAAGAGUGGUAGCUGUUGUGUCUCUGCCGGCAUUUAAGAAAUUUAGUACGAUGUCCCUUAAGUACUUUGGAUCUGUCUCAUUUAAAUCUAGAAACCGCGACAUGAUGUCUUCUUUUUUAACCUGCCAUCUCCUAGUGUUAAACGGCGAUAUACAAUAAACUUACAAAACAUUUAGGCAUUGCGAGAAAAGAAUUUUAAGAACUCACAGAAGAGUCAUCGUCAGAAUUUGAAACUUUCUCGAUUUUGGUACGAAUUAGCUUAUAUAUGAAGCUGUCAAUCACUUCAAGAUUUUUCCUUAGUGUUGCUUCAAAUCCAACAUUCAAGUAUUUCUUGACCAUCCAUAAUAAGUCAACAUAACGCCACAGUGUCAGAGCACUUGAAUCAUUAAAUGCAUUGGCAAAUAUUGUUCCUUCAUUUGAUCCAUAUAUGCUAUCAAGCUCUACACCGAAUCCAACUUUAAAUAUUGAGUCCAUGGUUGAUUUCAUAAACAAAUCCUACAAAAAUAUAAAUAAUGAUUACUGGUGAAGUUGGAUUGGGAUAAAAUAUAUAUAUACAAUACAUAAUCAGAGUUCAUAUAAUGUAUAAUACAUGCAAUGGAUAGGGAGCAUUUCUAUAUAUUGAACUUUGGAUCAACCAAUCACAAACUUACUUGAAUAUCAACAGACUUAUUUGCAUUUCCAGCAUCUGAAAUAAUGGAAGCAAGUCUUUCAGCAUUUCGUCGAAAGACUGCACUGCUAAAAUCUCUCAAGACUUUUGUAGAGAAUUCAUAACUAGAAACCUUCCUUUGAUGUUUCCACUUAUCGCCAUCUACGGUGAAAAUUCCAUCACCCAACAAAUCCUUCAAUAUGACAUAGUUAUACCAUCCCUGCAAAAAUAUUUACACCAUAUUUAGAUCUGAUCUAACAGGUCUAGCAUGAUAUCUUGAGAUGCAUGAAAGCAAUUAGGUGCCUAUACGCAUAACUUAAUUACCUUUCCGUAGUUUGGAAAAUUUGAUUUAAGGAUGUAUUCAACAUUCGCAGGAUCAGACGUGUAAAUUUCACUGCGAAAAGGGCUUAACAACCUAUAAGUCUUGUGCUUGCCGGCAAGAUCAGUCAUGUAGUGGUGCAACCUUUUAAAGUUGAGAAGUUGGUUGAAUACAGUACCACCAACAGGGUGGUAUUUCUUCUUGUCGGUCAGUUUUCUAACGACGACUGUGACUGUUAUGAGAACAAGAAGGACAGCUAAUGCUGUUGGUAAGGUGGAGAUAGUGGUGCUAAUUGAAUCCAUCAAUGCAAUUUUGGGUGAAGAGUGGUCUGCGCGCUCAGCUCCUUAUUAUAUAUAUAAAUUAACUUUAAUAGGGAGGGAUGAUACUACAUAAUAGCGAUUAGAUUCCGAACAGAGUAUUCAUUCAAUCAUUUAGAUCUUAUCCCAUUCCACCCACCUCAUAGAGUAAAACUUAAUUCACUGUCAGAUAUUUUCGUCAAUAAUCCAGUUUGGCUUUAAUUACAAGCUCUAAAAGUGGCUUGUCGCCGAGCUAGAGUUCAAUCCAUAUACGCUGAUUACUAUUAUGCAAAUGUUCAUUUACAGAAAAAGGGUGAAAGAGAUGGUGCAGUAAGUUGCAUUAUGCAGAACAACUUAAGUUUUUGACAGCAUCCUUAUGACCUUAAGGUUAUAAGUUCGUGCCCAUAAAAGAUGACUGUCAAUUCCUGCAUGUAAUGGCUUGUUUAAUUGUCUAUUUUACUGUUAGCCUGCAUGUAAUUGCUGAUUAUAGUCCGUUACAUUAUGGAUUAAUUGUCAAUGAAUAAUCUGUAAUAGUAAGGUUUAAUUUCUUUCUUGAUCAUAGGUGUAUGUAGAUGACAGUCCAUGUCUAUGAGUAAUUAGUCCGCAACAGUAUGGUUUAGUUGGCUGUGAUUUAAGAUUUAUUUGUCCACUAUUAGUCUGCAACAGUACGCUUUUCUUACAUCGUCCUUAUAAGUCCAUGAAUAGAUGGCUGUCAAUUCUUUUUUUCAUUUUUCAAUUGGCAAGCGGGGUUGAGGGCACCCCUACCCGGCUACCCCUUUAUUACGUGUGGAAACUUAUAUCAACAAUCAGCUGUCGAUUCAUUCUUACAUGUUAUGGGCUUAUGGCUACUCUAAUUAGUCUUGUGACAAGCACGUACUGCAAUAAACCCCACUCAACUCGUUCCAAAAAAGGAUUCCAUUUUCAUCAGUACUGAAGAAAGGAACUUGGUCUCUGGCCUUUCAUCGAGAUCUGACAGGUGUAGGUGACAUGUCCAUUCUAUGAUUAGUCGUUUAAUUAACUAAUUAUUGUCUAUUUCGGAGAAAAUAACCUUACGCCAGCUUGAUAGGUACUACAUACAACAUACAUGUGGCACCAUCUCUACCGUUCAUCAUGGUGCCACGUGUCAACAUCUAAUGGGCUCUCUCUUGAUGUCACAAGUUACAAAGUUAAAGCCAAUUACUACAAAGAUAUUCUCUCAUUAUUACCCUAGUAAAUGCUAAGAAUGGAGUUACAUUGUAGCCUAUAAAUAUGAAGGCAAGCUACUCAUUCUAGGCAUGUUCUCAUCUCUUCUCACAUGGUCUGAUAGCCUUAUGCUCCCAACACGACCUCAUGGUGAGGUCUCAUGAUCAACGACCUCCCCAAUCUCUCAUGAUGAGACCUCACCUCUCAGGUCUCAUCUCUCUCUUGAGCUCUCUCCAUUAUCGAGCUCCCAUCUUGUAUCACCACUACUAUAAUAAACUUCUUUCUCCCCUCUCCGUGGAUGUAGGCACAAUUGUCGAACCACGUAUACAAUGGUGUUCAUGUCUCUACUUUAUUAUCAUUUACAAAUCAAUAUCAUUCAUUAAUGUAUUGACCAACUUCACAAAUAUGGUUAAUACAUUUGGCGCCGACUGAGGGGACUUGGGAUUUUCUCAAGCGACUUCCACCCACCAACCCCACCAUUACACCAUUGUUGUAAGGCUCUCAAAGUGGUGAUUUCAAGUUCAAGAAAUUCUAUUUGGCAGAAUGGCAAUCACAAUUUCCAAAUUGGGGGUUUUAUUUCGGUUACCAUUACUGUAUGUGAAACUCGACGAAAGCAAGAUAAGUAUCAAUUCACUAUGAUCUUACUGUUCAUUCUAUUUUGUCUCAUACAAAUUGAUUAUUAUAUGCAUCUAUGUAACAUAUAUUCUCAUAACUCGAUCAUGAUUAUAUAUAUCAGUUACAUUCUUAAUGGCCACAUGUUCAGGUCUUGCAGAGACCUCCUCACAUAUUCAGGUCUCUAAGCCAACGACCUCUCAGGUCUCUAAGCCAACGACCUCUCAGGUCUCUAAGCCAACGACCUCUCAGGUCUCGACGCGACCUCACUUCAUUCAGGUCUCUAAGCCAACGACCUCUCAGGUCUCAUCGCGACCUCCCCAGGUCCUUAAUAACGACCUCUUCAAAUUACAGGUCCUUCAACGACCCCAACAAUAUUUAUGCCAUACAGGGGGCUAUUCUCACUUUAUCUAAUCAAAUUAAAUUAUUAGCACAAUUAGCUUUUAAUGAUAUUUUUUGUAGCUCUCUCUAUGUGCGGGUCACAUGAACACGACCUCACUCCCCAUGAGCUAUUUUUGCAUGUGCCACAUUGCUUUCACUGAACUCUUUACAAGUGAAAUGCUUGAUAUACAAUACGGCCACCCUCAUUGACUAGUGAGUCACUCGUAUGCGAGACGACCUCAAACACAAUUCUCUAGCCACACGCCUGGUCGAACACAUUCACUCUCAACGCAAUGCAGACCCACAAAGGCCACAUGCCCGAGAAUUGUCAAACAGGUCUCCACGCUGCGACCAUUCACUAGAUCGGGCACCAAAAGGUUCCAAGUAACUCUCAAAACACUUGGUCAACCAAUGCUCUUUCUCAAACGAGCUACAUUUGCACUCCAAAGUGCCACAUCUAUCGAAGUGUCCAGUCACAAGGUGACAAAGAUAGUACAUACAAGUAUAAGGAAGACGUACAAUUCCAUGUAAGUCUUUUAUUGAAUUUUAUAAUGUUUCACAUGCUAACAUUAUCAGGUCUAUGCAAUUCGAUCACACAAACGCAACAACCCAUGCAUACAAGAAGACCCACUUCAGUACGACCUGCUUGCAGCUGUCCAUCUCGUCUACAUGCCUUCUGAACGAGCUACCAGGUCUCCCUGGAAGUAACUAGCUCGCUAUACACAAAGUCAUGAUCGAGUUGCAAUUACCACAAGGGACCUUCGUCGCGUCCUGCAAAUCUCAAUGAUCAAACUCAUCAAAAUUUGGGGCGGAUCGACUUCGUUAAAGAACCCCAUAUUUCAUUCAUCUUGGGGGCUGGAUCGGUUCGAUUACUUCUUUUCAGCCCGAACUCCGUUCAACCUAAAAAGAGGGGGCUUAUGUAGGGGUACUACAUACAACAUACAUGUGGCACCAUCUCUAUCGUUCAUCAUGGUGCCACGUGUCAACAUCUAAUGGGCUCUCUCUUGAUGUCACAAGUUACAAAGUUAAAGCCAAUUACUACAAAGAUAUUCUCUCAUUAUUACCCUAGUAAAUGCUAAGAAUGGAGUUACAUUGUAGCCUAUAAAUAUGAAGGCAAGCUACUCAUUCUAGGCAUGUUCUCAUCUCUUCUCACAUGGUCUGAUAGCCUUAUGCUCCCAACACGACCUCAUGGUGAGGUCUCAUGAUCAACGACCUCCCCAAUCUCUCAUGAUGAGACCUCACCUCUCAGGUCUCAUCUCUCUCUUGAGCUCUCUCCAUUAUCGAUCUCCCAUCUUGUAUCACCACUACUAUAAUAAACUUCUUUCUCCCUCUCCGUGGAUGUAGGCACAAUUGCCGAACCACGUAUACAAUGGUGUUCAUGUCUCUACUUUAUUAUCAUUUACAAAUCAUCAUCAUUCAUUAAUGUAUUGACCAACUUCAUAAAUAUGGUUAAUACACACGACAUGCAUGAUUCCAUAUAUAUAUGGUUAUUGGCAUUUAGCAUUAUAUCUAUAAUAAUGAAGGUUCACUCCUCAUGCCUCAAAAAGGAUGGCCCUCUUUUCAUCGAACCAGCAAGUUGAGCUCACUCUGCAACAAUAAGUCAAUAAUGGUUACCUAAUUACUGAUGCCUAACGAUCAUGUUACGCCACUCAAUGACAUGCCAUGACAAAGCUAGAAGGAGCCAUGUCUGUUCCUUGUCUCCUCUUAUAAUCUUGAAGGUCACUACAUGCAUGUAUGUGAUCAUCACAAUAAGAUGGCCGGGAACAGGCACUAAUUCACUUGUAACUUGUAAGUUAAUUGAGUUCAGUUGAUAUAACUUUCGGCCAAGUUUAAAUGUCUGCAUGUCAUUUGAUAGUGUUGAAUUCAUUGGAAAACACUUGGUUAAUUAAAAGCACUCAAAACAAAUCUUUAUGCAUGGAGGAUGAUAUUAGCCAUGGAUGUGCGAAGAUUUUUGCAAUCGUCAUGUUUUAGAUAAUCUGACAGAAGAACUUUCAACAUGCAACAUAUAUACAUAUGCAUAACAUUUUGUUCACAAACUGUUAAUUAAACAGGCUAGCUAGCUAGCUAUAAGUUAGAGUAGACUAUACCAACUGUAGUAUCAUUUAUCAACAGAAACAACCGAGAUUAAUGAUAAAGACAUAGAGGUGUGCUGGAAUCAUCCCACACUUGCAGUCACUAGAAGUUAGAAGAAAGUCCAGAAAUGAUGGUCCAUCAUGACCUCACCAGUUAAGAAAAAAUUAUCAGAAUGGAAAAUUUGUUCAACUCUUCCUUGGUAUCGGGGUUCAAGCUUCAAAACGCAUGCUUGACUGUAAGUCAGGAUAUUUAUUCAACAAAAAAGCAUUGUGAUAAAUCAUCCACUACCAUAGCUAAGAUUCAUGGUAUGGUACCUCAUUCUGUCUUUGUCGAUCUCAUGAACCAAAAGACAGAUGUGCAUUCCUUGGACAUAUGCAGAGAAAUUAUUUGCAGAUCCAACUUUGUCCAAAAAGCUAUAAAGCUGUUAGAAGAUCGAAGAAGGCACUUCGAAGAUAUAUGUCGCAUAUGCACAGCAGUCCAUGAUUGAACUCUUUACAGAAAAAUAUGUAUUAAAAAAAUUUCUGAAGUACGAAAAAAGCCACAUGAACAGUUAAAUGAAAUGAUUAAGCAGUUUAUUCAAAUGCCAUAUAUUAUUCAAAUGAAAUGUUUUGGUUAAAUGAAAUAAUAAUCAAAGGUUUUGAUGCUGAACAUUAUCUAAAAUGUUGAAUUUAUGAAUGUUGAAAAGUAGAACGCAUUUUCCUCUGCCCCUAAAAGUAGAAGACAAGCCAAGACUGAGACUGUAACAUAUCAUCUAUGGACACAUGCAUGUCACGUCUUUAUCAAAAUAAUUCUCUGUUUUUUUACCAAAGAAAAAACAGAAACUGUCCUGUUUAGUAUUUUAUAAUCUCAAAGGGGUGGAUGUAGGAAUGUCAAAAGCAUGAAGUAGGUCGACUUACCUGUGUUUGAUUAAGUUUUUUUAUGAUCCGGUUGAUAUACAUUAUUGUAGAUUUUAGCUACACAGGUUCGAUCGAGCGCGCUUUUAGAGAAAGAAUUUUGAACAUAUGGCAUCGAAGACAUGAUUCAUAAUAUGCAUGAGAUGUUCCAACCUUUGCCAAUGUCAUGUUCUAACAAUAUAAGUAUGUACAGAGAAACCGCUUAUACUCUAUGAUCAAUAUAUGAACAAGACCUGAAACUAAAUUCUUCAAACAACAAAAAACCUUUUAACUUUUUUCUAGGAAAUUAACUAUAUAUGCAGCUGAUGAUAUAAUAUCAAUGAUUCAUGAAAAAGGGUGUAAACAAACAAAAAUGAGGUAAGAAAAUUAAACUGGGGACAUCAUCGAAUAACUAGCUAGCUAGCGAUAAAAUGAGAACAAAAUAGUGGGAUUGAAUAAUUGAUCACUCUCGUAUCAAUUUCUUUCAAGCAAAGUGUGUGGAUUUUUUAGAUCACGAGACUCCAUUGUGUCAUUGUCUCCUAGUUAAUCAAAGGACACAAAAAUGUGAUAUUAUUGGAGUUAUGCAGAAAAUUAUCUGUGCACUAAAAUUAAUAAUAGAUGGAUCCAUUGUGGAUGAAUGGACCCUAAUAACAUGAACUUAUUUUCCACCAAAAACAAAUAUCCAACCAAUGGUACCAAGACAAAAUAAAGAUAAUAAUCAAGAUGAGAUUUUAUGGCAAUUCAUAAGUCAUACAUCUUUAAUUAGUCAUCACAUGCACUAUGUUAAAAUGCAACUAUUUAUUUGAAAGAUCCACUCUACAUUGUUGAUGUUUUGGUUAAACUGAUUAAUCUUGAGAAUAUGAUUAGUAUACCUUGUUCAUGGAAAUUCCAUUUUCCAGGAAGAAAGAGCCAAAACUCCUGUGUACGUGACACUAAAGGCGAUGGCCUGGUUAAUACGUAUACCAUUGCUAAGUUCUAUGAACUUUUGAACUUUUUUGUUGUUAUCUUUUUUAUGUUUAUGUCUUCCAGUUGUUACUUUUCAUCCAUGGAUGUUUAAUUCACCAGACAACAGAUUUAAGCAAUGUUCGUUGAUGAUGUAUGGAAGCGAAUUAAAGAAAGACUCACAACAGAUUUAAGCAAUGUUCGUUUAAGCAAUCUUUUUUAUGUUUAGUGAAAACACUUGCCAAUGAUAGCUUUUAACACACUUUUCGAGCAAAACACUUUUAACUGCCAAGAAGUUAAAAGAGUUUUAGAGGUGCCACAUAAGAUUGUUUAAUAAUUAAAAAUUAAAUUGCAUUAAAUGAUUGUCACAUUUGUGUUAUUUUUAUCUUUCAUUCAAAAACAACCAUUAUAUUGGCAACUCUAAAAGUAAAAAAACACUUUUAGCAUAGUUUAAUCCUAAAACCUUUACCCUCUCUCCUACCUGGCACCUCUAAAACCAUUUUACCAUUGGGAAUGCUCUGAGUAGUUUAGAGCAAUCCAAUGGGAGGGCAGUUUGGUGCCCUCCAGAUAGGUGUCACAUAAGCAAAACCACCUUCAAAAUCACUUUCUCUCUAUGGUUAUCAAAACCCCCUGCGAAGUGGUGCCAAUGGAAAAAUUUGGAAAUGUCAGUUUACCAAAAUUAAAUGGAUUAUAAGACGGAACUUUGAGUUCCGGUUACCAAAUUUUGUAAGUGUUAUAAGACGGAACUUCGAGUUCGUGAAAAGUUAGUCUAUAAGACGGAACUUCAAGUUCCAUAUAAGAUAUAAAGUGUAUAAGACGGAACCGUGUGUUCCGAAAAAAUAUUAAACCGGAACACGGUGUUCCGUCUUAUGUUAAUAGUUCCGUCUUAUGCAAUUAACAUAUAAAGUGUAUAAGACGGAACUGUGUGUUCCGAAAAAGUGUUAAACCGGAAAACGAUGUUCCGUCUUAUGCAAUUAACAUGGCAUUUUGGAUGACACUCUACUCCCCUCUCAAAUGCCAUUGGAACUUCUAUCCACCGUUGAAUGUUUGACCCACCGUUCCAUUGGCGAAGGAAUUUUAGUUGAGAGGGCAUUUCAUACUACCGCCCUUCUCAAAUGCCCUCCCAUUGGGAUUGCUCUUAUAGAACUUUAUCAAAACCUUAGACUCUUAAUAAAAUUACUACUACUUUGCCCAGAAACCCUAAAUAAAAUAAAUAAAUGAAUUUACGGAUUUUCCAGAUAUGACUGGUGCAAUUUGACUAAUGUAUACCAAAAUUGUAGUUUCUUUUCGUCAUCAAAUGUUCUGUUAAAUUGAAGUCUUAUACAUCCGGUUGUGUGGUAUGGUGUGGAAUUAUAUGUCCAAACUGUUUAUUUGCAAUCAUCCAGACUUGAAAUCGUUCUCAGAAAUGAAACGAUAUGAGAAAGCUAGUUAAUUAACUAACGUGCACACCCUAGACUCUGGUGCAGAAGACCUGAUGAUAUCUUUAGGCUGUGUUUGAUAGGCAUCAUUUGCCAUGGCAAAUAGCUAUAGUGGAUAUAUUUGCCCACUAAAAUAGUAUUUGUCGGUGUUUGAUACGUUUUUUAUGAUGUGGCAAAUAUUUUCAACUUUUAUCCAGUAUGGAAGAUUUGCCCACUAUAUAUUGGAUAAAAAGUUCCACCUAUUAGGUGGAUUUUGUUUGCCACCAAGUUUUACCCAGUAUUGUGGCAAAUAUAUAUAUAUAUAUAUAUAUAUAUAUAUAUAAAGGCUUUGGACUUUGUGUAGUUCAAUUAAGAAGGAUUUGGGCUUAGGCCUGUAUUAUUUUGUGUUAUAAAAAUAAAAAGGCUUUGGGCUUAGACAUCUGUUAGGGUUUAAUUAGCAAGACUAGGGCUAAUGAAGUAUACAUAUAUCUAACUUAAUGUGUAGUGAUAGAAACCUUGUUCUUAUUCAUUUUGCUCUGUUAAUAGGUGAUUAGUGAUUACUACUCAUUACUAAUUGUGGGUGCAAAAAUUUGAUCCACAAACUCAAGAUAUGUAUAUAUUAAUCCUACAGUUACAAUGAAAGCCUUGUAUAGACGAAGAUAGGAUGGGGGUAUACAGUGAGACUGGACCUGAUCGGGAUCAGGCUGCCUACGUAUCCAAGAUGAUGAACUUGGAAUCAAGUCUCAGCUUCCACUAAGCUCUAAUGGAGUUGCUCAGUGAAAGACUCGUAGUUCAGGAGGUUUAGAACUCCUGUAUUUGUAGUAGGCCGGAGGAGGCUGGCUCAACCGCCCCUCCGGUUUUGACUCCACGAACUCAGGUUGUUCAACUGUGAAGAUGCUUUCCGUCGGAAUAGCUUGCAUGCUGUCGAGCGGUUAUCCCCUUGGUUUGAAUCCCCUUUGACCAGGAUGACUACCACGUGGCAUCCUCUGAUAGGUCCUGGUUCAACCUGGGUUUCCUUUAUCUUCUCCAGCGGGCUAGAACCAUGGGUUAUGUUGGCCUGGAAUCUCGCUGGACUUAUCCAGUUGGUAGGACUUGGAUUGACCAAGCCUAAAAGCAAAGACUUGGGCUUGACUCCUCUGACCGGAGGCCCAAUCUACACUGCAUACUCCCUGGCCAGGUCCUCAUAACUUCUGUGCUAAGCCUUUGGAUGAGCCCCUGUCGCUGCUGGACCUUACUGGGCCGGACCUGGCCUACUUGACUGAGGUGGGCAUGGUUGAUGUAUGGGAGCCCAUGGUUCAACUUCUUAUAUAGUAACAGGAGCCCAUGGUUGAUGUAUGGGAGCCCAAGGUCCACAGAGCGUAUACGGAUCUCUUGAAACCGGGUUGGGCCCUACCCGAUAACCCAGGCUUGGCUGGCUACUGCUUAGGUGCUCCCGGUUUAGCUUCUUAUACAGCCAUCGGUGACACAUGUCUGGUUUUUUUACCUAGGGUACACACACUAAUGAUGGAGUAUACUAUCUGUUCAUGAUUACAACAAUGAUUUCAUUGAAUGAGUUAAUUUCUUAGCUACGUGGAUUAGAAGUUGGCUGGAUUUUUUGUUUUGGUUGAAUUGUUUAGUAUACUGUAUUGGGUCAUGUAUGUGUAUUUUAUAUUGGGUCAUUGAUAUGCACAUGGUUUUGGGCUAUGUAUAUGGGCAAUAGUUUUAAUCCACGACAAAAGUUGAUGUUUGUCAUGGCAAAUAUUGUGAAUCAAACAACAACAAAUAUCAACAAGAAGACAUCUCAUUUGAGUGACCAUUUUAGCUCCCCAUUAAAGUUCCUUGUUGAAGCUUUUUGUAGUUCAUUAGAUUUUAAUAUUUUAAUUGUUUCUUCUUGUUUGAGUUAGUAGAAUUCAAGGAAACCUCUUGGCUCUUCUUAGUCUAAUUUGAUUCUUUUGAAAAGGUUCAGGCAAUCCACAGUCUCUUCUCUCUCUGCCUCUUGAUUUCUGUAACUAGUUCUCUGAGUGGAAAACCUGGCAGGAUAGUUUGGUCUUUACAAGCUAAUUUUCUCAACUUCCACAUCAUAGUGCCCCAGUUUCAUCAGCUCAGCAGGAAGCAUUUUGAUAACAGCUUGCCUACAGACUCCUCUUCAUCUCUUUCAACUCAGACUUCCCACCACUUUCAAUUCCUUUCUCUAUCUCUUUCUUUUAAGAACUAAUCUUUUUAUGUCUUUUCAUUAACUCAGGUACCAGCAGGGGCAAAAGAGGGAAGCUAUUUGGAUCACAUUCCCAAGGUCACUCAAGUAGUCAUUAAUAACUUUCCAGAGUGACAAAGCCAGCAUUAUUCCACUUCUUUUUUGCUAUAAGAGGACAAUUCGUACUCUUUGCAGUCUGCAUAUCCCCCAUUCACAGUCUGAACUUCUCUUCAACAUAAAGCAAACCUCACAUCUCACUGCUUACAACCCUCUGACCAAACUUUUCAACCCCCUUCCCGAUGCAUAAUCUAAACCAUCCCAUUCAGGACACAUUUCUUUCCUUCUAUCAUCCACUUACUUACCUACACUCCCUCCAAUUAAAUCAAAGACUAAGACUCUCACUCACUAUUCUGGACUAUCUAAACCUCAUGGACUCUCAAGUUUUACAUAUCACCAAAGCCAUGAAGAACACCCUCAACUUACAAAAAUCAAGAACCCAUAUCCCUCAUCAUGAAUUGCAAACAAACAGUGACUUCUGGAAAGAUUUGCUCAUACUCACUCUCCUCUUUGGAGAUCACCAUCACCCAAAUCAGGUCAUAAGAAAUACCAAAAUAAAGAUGUAGAUCAAUGGUACAGGUCAAGCUAAUAUGAUACGAGUUUCUCACAACAGAUUCCUCUGCAAAAUCCACAAUGAUGUGGAUGUUCGUAGAGUCGACAAAGGGCAACCGUGGCAAGUAAUGAAUUGUUUGGUGGUCAUGGAGUCGUUCUCGCCACCAACUGAUCCAGAAUCUGUUGUUCUUAACAGAAUUCCUCUCUGGCUAAACUUUAGAGGACUUCUACUGGAACACCUGCGCAGAGAGACUAUUCGAACAGUGGCAAGUGCAUCUGGAGAAUGGGGCCUCAUUCUUCCCGAGAAUGCACUCCCAAAUACAGCUGAUGGUUUUCAUACUCAGGUUAAGGUUGAUAUUAACAAGCCUGUCUCAUGGAGCACACUGGUUAACACCAUGGGAGGAGAAGAAAUCUGGAUUACGUUCGGUUAUGGCAAUUUACCAAGCCUCCACUGCAAUAAAUGCCAACAACUUGGUCACGCAUCUCGAGAUUGCUUCUAUCCGGAGGAUGAUGCAAAGGAACCAGAGACACUGCUGUUGUUGGGUAACCCUGAAAAUUCAAAGGAAGUGAAGACCAGGCAGACUGCAGGAAAUGAGCUCUGGCCUCACGAGAAAACAAGCCCAGCCCAGAUACAUUUGGAAGAAGCUGGGCCUUCAAAUGUGGACCCAUCCAUCAUAGGCACCAAACACGCUAUGAUGAUAUGGGCCCAAGAAGGUCUGCUUGAUGAAGUGCAAGCUCAGGUCUUUAUAAGGGAUCCAAACUCAAAGACCGAGGCCCAAGAUGAAGAAUUAGCAUCUCAAGCACGACCAGGAGAUGUCUCACCUCCACUAGUCUCCAUCACCUCACAAAGAAAUACAAUCCCUAACUGCUUCAAAGAACCUGUUGCGCCUCAUGUAGUUGAUGGUACUAUUCGAAUCAAAGGAAAAGGAAUAUCAAUUGGGAGGAAGGGUUGUAACCGAAAAAAUGAAAUUUUUGAAAAAGGGAAGUCAGUGAUUACAAUUGAAGGUCAAAGGGAGAAGAAAAAACGAAAGAUCAUGGAGAUCAUGUCAAUGGAGGCUGAAAUGAUCCAUGAGGCACCAACACCUAUACAGUCAAUCAACUCAAGCCAAUCCCUUCCCUCUGAAGAUUCUCUGCCAAAGCCACAAAAGCUUGAGCUGAUUCUUCAGCUACUUAUGGAUCCUUUAAUUGCUCCUCACCUGGUUUCCCAUGGACUUCUAAACGCAAAAAUUCUUGAUUUCCUUCCAUCACAGAACGCCUUGUCUAACCAAAUACCUCUCUCACCCAUCUCAGUUAUUCCUGAUUUGACUCAAAACACUGCUGAUAUUGGUAGUCACAUCCACCUGAGUCUGAGUCUGAGUGCAGCAACGGAAACUGAAUAUAGAACCAUUGAUCCAAUGGGAGGUACUGAAACUCGAGCUACUUAUGAUAAUGUGAUCCACAAUAGCAACAAUCCCCUCCAAAGCUCGCUGCUGGUCACCUCUACUAGUUAUCGAUAUAAACAGGUUUGCUCUCUUAAAUCUUUUUUCUACCUUUCUCCUUGCAAUUUCAACUUCCCUGUUCCUGCAAUAGACAUUUAUUUUAAUCCUAUUAAUCGACACUACCUAACCCAUUAUAUAUCAUGCUCAAACCAUCAUAACUAUCUUUACUUACAGUUUCACACUACUUAUUAUAAUCACAUUCACUUUAUCAAUAGAACUUCAUGUAUUACAAACCCUGAACUAUUACCGUAUCUUAAGUCCCAGUAUGCUCAUUGUUUUGAUUGUUUUGCUAUAGCUACUUUGGACCUAUUUUGUACUGUUGUUAACUUGUUACAAGUCAUUUUCUACCCUCAUCCUAGUUGGAUAUGGUUUGAGGUUUUCUUGGGGUUGCAAAUUUCUAUUACCUUGUUUGAUUUGUUGUUCACUAAGAAUUCUCUGGUUAUUAGAAGCUGCUUUGUUACUAUUCAGUCUGUUGAAAUCCAUAGCUCUGAUAGUAGGUCCUGGUUCUGGUGGUUUAGAAUGAAAAUUCUCUCUUGGAAUCUAAGUGGUUGUGGUAAUGACAAUACCAAAAGAGUUCUUAAAACCAUGUUACAUCAGCAUAAACUUGAAAUCAUUUUCUUAAUGGAAACUAAGGCCUCUAGCAGUGAUACUCAAAACCUUAUAAAAACUCUACCUCAUUAUAGAUCUCAUUUCAUUGAGCCUAUUCAACAAGCUGGAGGGCUUUUGUUGCUCUGGGAAUCCUCCAUCGACCUUAGAGUUAUCUCCUCAAAUAAAUAUAUCAUCAACACCACUAUAAACCAAGCUAACCCUUACCCUUCCUUUGCUGCCUCCUUCUACUAUGGGAGUCCUUACCCUCAUUUAGAGGAGUUGAGCUGGUCCUUCUUUCAGAUUGCUGGAGAAUCUUCAGCUCAUCCCUGGAUCACUAUUGGAGAUCUCAAUGCAAUUUUUUGUUCUUCUGAAAAGAGUGGUGGCCUCCCUUUCAAUGAAGUCGAAAAUAGGGUUGCUAUUGAAACUAAACAAACCAUGGGUCUUAUAGAUUUAGGGUUUGUUGCGGAACCUUACACUUGGUGCAACAGAAGAAGUGGGAUCCAUAACAUAAGGAAAAGACUGGAUAGGGCUCUCAUAAGCCCUGAAUGGCAUCUUCUCUUCCCCAAUGCCAGUCUUAAUCACUUAUCUGCCAUAGCCUUUGACCAUUGCCCUAUCCUUCUUGACCUUAACCCAACUCCCAAUGUUGGGCCCAAGCCUUUCAAAUUCCAUAAUAUGUGGACCAGAGAUGAAAACUACAACUUAAUUGUUGAUAUGGCUUGGAAGAGAGUGGCAUGUGCUCCUAAUGAAAACUCUAUAACUAAACACCUAUCCUCUACAAAAAAGGCUCUUUGAACCUGGAACUCACGUGUCUUUGGGAAUGUCUUCAAAAAGAUUGCUUCCAUUAAAUCUAAGAUUUCCUUUAUCCAAUCGCAAGAUCUCUCCCCGGAGAACAAGAUUAUUGAAAAAAAUCUCAUCCUAGCUCUGGAUGAGACCCUCUCUCGUGAAGAGAUGAUUUAGCAGCAAAAAUCCAGCGACCAAAUCAUAAGGGAAGGGGAUAGAAAUACCAGCUACUUCCAUCUCUCUGCCCCCAUCCUCCGGAAUCACUCUAAAAUUGAAGCCAUUCUUAACUACAAUAAUGAGUGGGUUUUCAAUAAAAAAAAAAUCAUCACUUGUUUUGUGUCCCAUUUCGAGAGAUUACUUUGCCCUGUUAUUACUCCCAUGUCUCUCCAUCAAAAAGGGAUAAUAAAACAUUUCUUCCCUACCUCUCUGUCUCAGGAAGACAAUGAUGACCUUAUUAGAGAUGCCUCCCUGGAAGACAUCAAACACUAUGUGUUUAGCAUUGGCCCUAAUAAAGCCCCUGGGCCGGACGGAUUCACUAGCAUGUUCUAUCAAAAAUCUUGGGACAUUGUUAAGACUGAACUCCACCUUCUUAUCCACAACUUUUGGAAUGAAGAUGCAAGCAUUGAACACAUCAAUCAUACCAAUAUUGCUCUGAUCCCUAAAUGUGAUUCUCCCACCUCCCCCUGCCAGUUUAGACCCAUUAGUCUCUACAAUGUCACUUACAAAAUCAUCACUAAGCUCCUAGCUAAUAGAUUAAAAAACCUUCUCCUCUCUAUCAUUUCCCCCCUACAAUGUGCCUUUGUUCCUCGAAGGCAAAUCUCGGACAACAUCAUCAUUACCCAUGAGAUUAUUCACAGUCUCAAAAGAAAACAAGGGAAAGAGGGUGUUAUGGCCAUUAAGAUUGACAUGUCCAAAGCUUUUGAUAGAGUUAACUGGGAAACCAUAAUAGAUAUUCUUGGUUGCAUUGGCUUCCAUCCCAGGUUCAUUAGCUGGAUCACUAAUUGUAUAAGCUCCCUCCACUCUUCUGUCAUCAUCAAUGGUACCCCCAAUGGUUUUUUCAAACCUAUUACUGGAUUAAGGCAAGGAGACCCCAUAUCUCCUUCUCUAUUCAUAAUCUGCAUGGAGCUCCUCUCAAGAAUGAUUCAAGCGAAAUGCAACUCUGGAGCUAUCCAUGGUAUUAAAGCUUCCAGAAAUAGCCCCCCUAUUUCCCAUCUUCUCUUCGCUGAUGACAUUUUCAUAUUCUGCAAAGCUAGCACUAGUGAAGCAAGUGAGAUCUUGAGUACCCUUAACCUCUUCUCUUCCAUUACUGGUCAGCAGAUAAACUUUGAAAAAUCUGGUAUCCUCUUUAGCAAGAAUACCCCUGCUCUUACUCAAACCCACAUUCUUACCACCCUCCAUAUGAAAAACAUCGAUAAAGAGGACCUUUACCUUGGCACCCCCUCUUCCUCGGACAAAAAAAAUCGGUUCUCUUCAACAACCUUGUUGAUAGAGUUACCAAGAGACUAGCUAGUUGGAAAAGCAAAAUCCUUUCCCAAGCUGAUAGAACUGUGUUAAUAAACUCUGUCACCUCGGCUAUUCCCUCCUAUCAAAUGACUUGUUUUAAAAUCCCUAAAGGAGUCAUUGAUAAAAUUGACAAACUUCAAAGAGAUUUCUGGUGGGGAAAAAAUGACAACAACAACUGUAAAAUGCACCUGAUAAACUGGAAAAAAAUCUGCCUAUCUAAAAGGAAUGGGGGAAUAGGGAUAAAGGAUCUUCAGAAACAAAAUGAUGCUCUGCUAUCUAGAAUUGCCUGGAGGAUCUUAUCCAAUCCUGAGAACCUCUGCUCCCAGGUUCUGAAAAAUAAGUACUUUAGAAACUCUACUUUUCUUACUCAUCACUCUAAAUGUUCUACUUCUUGGACUUGGAGCUCUAUCUCUUCCACUAUCCCAACUAUGAAGUCUCAGAUAUGUUGGGACAUUGGAAAUGGCUCAUCUAUACAUAUUUGGGAAGAUGCUUGGAUUCCCUCUAGUCCAAACUUCUUGCCCUUGCCCUCCUUAUCCCCUCAUAUUCACCAACCACACAUCACUCAUGUUAAUCAACUUCUCCUACCUAACUCCUCCCUUUGGAACCUGGUGCUUCUUAAUCAAUUGUUUGACCUCAUAAGUGUCCAGCACAUUCAAAACACUAGCAUUAGAGGUCCUAAUGAAACCGGCAUGAAGUGGUUUGACAUCAAUUUUGUGACAAAGUGUCCUUGGUUAUCUCGCCUUGAAUUCAUUGUUAGGAAAAUCAAGAUGUACGCAUGGUCGUCUCGUGUCCUUCGUGUCUCUUGGUUCUGUCUAAGAAAAGCUAUUGGGUACUGGACGUACGUACCGAGUUAGGACGUACGUACGUCCACUGAAGCAGCAAACAUCUUUUGGUCAGGACGUACGUACGCAGUUAGGACGUUCGUACGUCCAAGCAGGCAGCAAACUUUUACCGUGUGGGGACGUACGAACGUUGAUUCGACGUACGUACGUCCAAUAUGGAUUUUCAGUAUUUCGGCCCAUUUUCCUUGGUUUCCAACCCUAAGUAUAAAUAGGGUUUCUCUUCCAAAGAACAAGUCAGUUCUUUGGCCGUCUAUUCUUCUUCUAGUUCAUAUGUUUUGGUUUAGGUUUUGAUAUUGAAAGUGUUUGUGGCUAUUGAACUCAAUUCCCUUCCUUCCCCCUUCUCUCAAUUCAUCAAUCAGUGAUCUUCCAAAGUUUAUUGUGAUUUCGGCUUCGAGUCUUCUUGUGUGUUCAUCAAGAAGUCGAGUGUCUUGUGCGUACAUCAAGGUGCUCUGGUGAAGUCAAGGUGUUAGAGAUAACCAGGAGUAUCAACUCGCAGUGAGUGCAGGUAGUUGAUAGGUUUGUACAUCUCUUUUCAUCUAGUGGAUUAUUUUGUUGUCGCGAGGACAACCGUGGACGUUUCCCUGUUUGGGUUUUACCACGUUAAAAAUCUUUGUGUGUUAUUUACUUUCUGCAUAUUGUUUGAUUGCUUGUUUGAAUUUACAAUUGUUAUACUAGCACUAUUUGUAGUUUCUCAAUUGGUAUCAGUCGCUGGGGGCUGGUUAAGGAGCGUAAAGGCUCACGCUAACGAUCAAUAGUGCUUUAUGGAACCUCACAAGGUUGCUACUUCAAGUCUUCCUCCACAAUUCAGUGGAAAAGACUUUGUUCAUUGUAAAGUACGGAUGCGAGCUUAUCUCCAAGCCUUAGGAGAAGAAGUCUGGCUUUCUGUUGUCACAGGGUGGAAAGAACCUCUGACUACUACAGGUACUGGUGAUACUGCUGUUACAUCACUGACGCCACGUGAAAAGUGGACGCCUGAACAGAAGUUGUUGGCAAAUUAUAACAACAAGGCACUCAAUGCUAUUUUCAUGGCAUUAAAUGCUAGUGAGUUUCGUCGGGUGCAAGGCUGUGAAGAGGCUAAAGAUGCAUGGAACAGGCUUAUCUGUACACAUGAAGGUGACGAAACAGUCAAAGAAAGUAAGCUGGAACUGUUAACAUCUCAGUUUGAGAAUCUACGGAUGGAUAAUUCUGAGACCUUUGAUGAUUUCUUUAUUCGUCUCCAAGACAUCAUAAACUGCAGUGUGGCUAUUGGUCAUGCAUAUACUGACACACAAGUCGUACAUAAGAUAUUGCGUGCUUUGCCUCCUCGGUUUCGUUCUCGUAAGGAUGCCAUCACUGAGAGUAAUGUGAUUAAGAACAUGUCCAUCGAGACACUUGCUGGGAAACUAAGGACAUGUGAGAUGGAACAGGCUUUGGAAGAACCUUUGAAGAACAAAUCUGUAGCAUUCAAAGCUACAUCGUCUAAAGAACCUUCCACAGGACCUUCUGAUGAUGAAGAACAGGAUGUGGAUGAUAACUAUGCGUUUCUGUCACGUAGCUUUCAGAAGAUUCUGAAAUAUCAACAGAAUCGAGACCCUCGAAAGCGAUUUCCUGAUUCCUCAAAUGCUCCUAGGAGUCGUGGUUUUGAGCGAUUCUCUGUGGAUGGGAGAAGAGCUCGAGUUGAUCGUAAAGAUGUCCAAUGUUACAAGUGUCGUGAAUAUGGACACUUUGCAAAUGAAUGUGACAAGAAGGUGGAUCGCAAACCUGGUGAUAAUUCCAAAGCGAACCUCACAGUAACAUGGGAUGAUUCAGAUGAAGAUGAUGAUGGAAAUCUCUCAAAUGUUGUCUCCAAUUAUGUGGUCUUCAGUGCAUCCCUGGAUGAACAUCCAGGAGGUAUUGUAUCCUCUACUGAUGAUAUUAAUGUUUCUGAUUCUGGUGUUCAUGCUACUACUAGUGAAUUAUGUGAUAUGUAUAAGUUUUCCAUGCAACAAGUAAAGUUGCUUGAAAAAACUAACACCGUCUUGCAGGAUCAGGUAGAUAGUCUUGGGCAGGAUAUAUGCAAUCUUACAGGUGACUCCAACAUGUUGAAGGAAGAAUUUGUGAAGGAAAAGGAGGAUUUCCAAGUGCGUAUUGCCACUCUGGAAAAACUGAAUAAUGAUCUGGAGACACGGUAUCGAUCCCUUGUAUUGGAGCAUGAGAAAGUAAAAGCUGAGUUGUUUGCUGCUAACAAACAAUUGGUUGGGUUUGGUAAAGCAAGUGCUAACCUAAACUCUCUGUUGGGAAUUGGUAAAUCCCAUUCAGAUAAAUCUGGUUUAGGUUAUGACACAUCUGUUCCUCUUUCUACUGCUAGCACUUCCCGCACUGCCUUUGUGCGACCAACAAGUGUCGCUCUUCCUGCUCCUGUGCAGGUGUCUAGUGUGGUAUCACCACCUAAGGUUACUCAUGUAAAGCAUGUCCCGAAAAAGAAUUUUAGACACAAAGGCUUUAAAUGUCUAACAUGUGGUCGCAUGGGUCACACUUCUGCUUUUUGUUGGAAUAAUUUGUAUCCUGCUCAUCAUCCCUCUUUUGCAGGUAACUCAUAUUGGAACAAGUCUUCUACUUUCUCCAUGCAGGCUCCAUACAUGUGGAAUGGCUAUGCUCCGUGGGGUUUACCCAGAACUUCUCCUUAUGGAAAUCGUCCUCAAACAACACCCAUGCCUACUCCACCACCACAUUUCUGGGAUAGGAGUAUGGAUGCAUCCAGGAAAAUAAUAUCUCACAUGGCUCGUUUGGUUGAACCAAUGCCUUUAUCAUGGUAUCUUGACAGCGGUUGUUCGCGUCAUAUGACAGGUGAUAAGACUCUAAUUGAUAACCUGACUCUUGGUUAUGGAGGUAAGGUUAGGUUUGGUAAUGGUAAAAUGCUUCCGGUUGAAGGUAAAGGUAACUUUUCUGAGGUUGGAUCGCUCAAUAGUCAUGAGCUUCUUUUUGUUAAGGGUCUUAAGUCCAAUCUAUUGAGUAUUAGUCAGUUAUGUGAUGCUAAGUUUAAGGUUGUGUUUGAGGAUAAUAGGUGUGAUGUUUUUGAUUCCAAUCAUGUCUUGGUGUUAACUGGUAGUCGCUCAUCUGAUAACUGUUUCAUUGUCACUACACCUCUUCCGCAUUCAUAUACCUAAUGUGUUCAUUGGAACUGUCUGUGUUUAGGAUGUUUAGGUUCGGUCAUUUCUUAUUGUUGUUGGUAUUGAGGACAUACUACAUUCUCUAUUGUGUGGAUUCCAUUUUACAGAUGUUUCUAGUUUGGCGUCCUCAACUGUUUUUGUGUCAUGCAUAGUUGUAGGGUUACAUUAUACUCUCUUCGUAUUGGUAGUUUCUUGCAUGAUGCAUUUACAUGUGGUUGGCUUGUCUUUUACAAUACCUGCAUAACUCCAGUUUUUCUAUGGUUUCUUUUCAUGAUCGUUGUUUUUCUUUUAUAUUUACUCACCUCUUGUAAGUGGUCAAUUACUCACAAAAUCCCCAGCCAUUUGAAUGUCUUGAGAGCAUACUCAUUUGGCUAAGAACCCAUUGGGGCUGUGAGGGUCAUGCUCUGACGGAUGCACUCAGGAGAUGUUAGUUCUUGUGUUGCACGUUAUCAUGGUAUUGCACUUCUUGAGUGUGUUUUGCCGAAAAGAUGUAGGCUACACCCUACCCUCGUGUUCUGGUAAAAGAUGGAGAUACUUUAUACUCCCACACGGGAAUGACAUUUUUUUUUAACAAAAAAAAAAAAAAAAAAAAAAAAAAAACAAAAAGGGAAUGAUAAGUGUCUGUCACACUUGUCUAGUUGGAAGACAAAAAAAAAAAAAAAAAAACAAAACAAAAAAAAAAAAAUUUCUGUGUUUCCUUGGUUUUGUUGUGCUCGGUUUCACCUUCUCCUUGGUCUACUUGCAAAAGACUUUCAAUGUAUUCAAUGAUCAUUUUUUAGUUUGUUUCCGGAGGUUGGUAUUGGUCUAUCAGGUUCUUCUACAUGCUUGCAUCAUUCUAGUAAGUACCAUGCCAUGGUGUAUGAUGUCGUUCUUCGAUUUUGCAUUGUCUUGAGGUUGAGGGUUGUUUAUACUGUAUUCGGCUGUAAUUGGAAUCCUUAUGAUAAGUAGAAGUGUUUUCUUGUGAUGUCUCUCAAUAUUUGUUCUUGGUAGUUCUUUAGUUUAUUAUCUGAUUGUUUAGGUGGUUCUUCAUUUUUUAUAUAUAUAUAUAUUUCAAAAAAAAAAAAAAAAAAAAAGGGGUUCGUACGAACGCUUUCAUGACGUUCGUACGUUUAGGUGGGCAGAUCUUUUUUAAACGUACAAACGCUCCUAGGACGUACGAACGUGAUCUUAGUCAGAUGUUUGGUUUUUGGGUCCCGACGUUCGAACGUUUUCAGAACGUACGAACGUUCGUCAUACAGUCCGGCCCAUUUGUGUUUAAAUUCAAAUUUUUUGAACCAAAGGCUAACUGUUACAUCAAUCGUGCCCCUUUCUUCUCUCUUGCACGAACAUUAGGAAGUCUCCACCUUCCCUCAACGUCUUUUGUUUGGUCUUUCUCUUCCUCUUCUUCUUCGGUGGUUGUGUAUUGCUUCACUCAAGCAGUUUUUUUUCUCCUUGGUGUCCACUCUGUUUUUUAUCAAGUAAGUGAACUCGACUUCUUCCCACAUUCUUCUUUUUCUCCCUCUCCUUCCUCUCUUGGUAUUGCAUGACUAUUCUCUUAGUUUUGUUGAAUUGCAUGGUUAGUUUAAAUUUUUUUUUGGAAUUGUUUGUUUCGGUUUAUAUUGAUUGUGUUGGUUAGUCUUUCACUUCAUCUCCUUGAAAUUGGUGGACAACUUGGCUCUCUCUGUUUAUUGUAACUUCUACUCUAUUGUUGGGUCUAUUUGGUUGUGUGUUUGGGCGUUUGACAUUCUACAUUGUUGUCGAUUACAUGAGUCUUGUUUCUGCACAUCAAGUGUUUGAUUAAAUGUCUCAAUGACAUGGUUAUUGUUUAUUUUGUCGUUUUUCUUACAUUGUUGAAUUGUUUGCUGUUGUGCUUGCGUAGACAAUGGCUUCCAAGCGUGCACGCACCACUCCCACCACCACGGCCUCCACAUCUAAGGGUGCGUCUUCUCGUGCUCCACGGGGUAGGAGCUCCACUCCGGCCUUGUCGCCUCCUCCCACAUCUCUUGGUGCUCAUUCUCGAGCAAAAGCUAUUGUUCCUGAGCGAUUCUUUGACUUGGCAGACAUCGCUGCUACCCCUCUUGGGACUACUCAACUUGGCAACAUAUCCCUAUUCUUUGAGACUCGGAAUUGGCUAAGGGUGGCUCAACCAAUCACCAAGUACUCGGUUGAGCAUACGAUAGCCUUCUAUGAGACGAAGACACCCUCGCAGAAUCGCUCGAGUUUUUCGGUCUUGAUUGAAGGUCAGAGAUACACCAUUUCUCCUAAGGUGGUACGUGAGGCGUUGGGUAUUGAAGGUGAUUUUAUUCCUGAAGGUGCUGUUUCUGUCAGAUGGCCCGUUCCGGAUACGAUUCAAAUUGACUUUGUCACUCAAGUUCAGUAGAUGUUUAUUGAUGGUGUCACGGAAAGGUAUCAUGCCAAGCACUACAGUGCCAUCCUCUUGCACAUGGUUGCCCACUCCAACAUCUACCCCUCCAAGGGCAACAAGAUCAUCAUGACCGACGACAUGGUCAAAUUAGUGGUCUGUAUGUCGGUGCACCAUCUUCAUCUUUCUGAGGUCAUCUACACACGAAUGCUUCAGAUCGAUGCAGCUAAGGGUACUCUUCCUUUCCCUAGCUUUAUAAUGACUAUACUCAAGCACUUGGGUUUUCAGGGACAGUAUAUGGGGGUGAGCCCUCCAAGGUUUGUUGGCCAUGAUUGGGUCAACGCCAUCAAGAAGGGCUGUCAGUCUAGAAAGUUGGCCUUUGAGUCCGUGGGUGCGCGUCUGACGCAUCACCUAAUUUGGGGAGGCAGGGCUCUUGUUCGCCAUGAUGAUUUUGAUCGGGCUUUGACCUCUGGACGCCCCAUCUCAGCCUCUGCUAGGGGCAAUCGGGCUGUUGCAGCAAUUGAUGCUCGGGUUUCCUCUCUCCGACGUCGUCAGGAUCAUAUGGAUGCUCGGUUAGAUCGUUUUGGGGUCAUUCUCUCUCGUCAUGAUGUCAUGAUCAGUGAUAUUCAUGCGAUGAACGUUGCUCAGAUGCGUCAUCUACAGCUGCCACCGACUUGCCUCCGUUUCCGGAAGAGGUGCCUCCAGUUCCAGGUGAGAGUGAUGGUGAUGACUCAGAUGACUCAGAGAGGGUGAUGGUGAACACAGUGAUGGUGCCUCGGAGUCCGAGUAGUUGGUUUUCUGGUUUACUCUCCACAUUUUUGUACUUAACUUUGCUCUUUUGCUAUAUCGGUUUGUUUCUAUUUUUUUUGGAUAUUGAGCAUGUUCUUGGAUAUUGCUAUUUUAAUAUUAGUUCAAGUUUUUUUGUUUUGCAGUAAAUUUUUGUUAUUUAGGUAAUGGACCUCUCUUAUUGGGCCCAUGUUAGGUUUACUCUUGUUUUUCCUAUAUAUAGGGGAGUCUUCUCCUCUUUUACUUCUAUUGUGUCUUCUUACCUCUUGCUAGUUCUCUCUUUGUUCUUCAGAAUUUUCUAUGGCAGAAUAUGAACUUCAUGGAAUUUUUGUACCGGCUGUUGGUUAUGUGUCGUUUAUGGUGAUGGAGUACAAAAACAAUGCUAAGGUUUGUCGUUUAUGUCGCGUUCCCCAUGGGUAUGACUAUAUUCAUCGACCUUUUCUUAAUCCUUGUUUGGUUCAUGUCAAUCAUUGGGAGAGAUUACCGGGACAUCUUCAAAAUCACAUCUUGGAGUUGGUUGGUUAUCCGAAGGUUCCAGGACUUGCUGCUCCACUUACCGACUGUGGCUUGGACAGCAGAAUUGAGGAGUUGUUUUGUAAGAGUGAAUGGCUGGAGGAUUAUGAUGAUCAUGUGAUUGCUCGGUGGAAUAGGCCUUCGGCUCGUGCGGAAGCUUACUUCUCCAAGCUUCCUCUAGGUCAUUGGGAACGGGUUUUUCGAAUUCGUUAACUUAAGCCUUGUGUUUUGUCGUUUUGUCUUUUAUGUUAUGGAUUCCUAUGUUUGGAUAUUAGUUGAUUUCCUGAACUUUUAACAGUUGGGUUAGGUUUAUCUUUUUAUCUGUUUUGUCUUCAUUGUUUGGUAUUGAUUUCUUUUUCUUGGUUAUUUGUUUAUUGUUGUUAUUUUAUCGUUUCUUUUGUUGGUUGGUUAUUUUGUUCACUUGUUGUGACAAAAAGGGGGAGAUUUAUGACCCUAAUUACUAACAAUCGUCUUCUUGUUGUUAGGUUAUUUUUGGGUCAUGUUUCAGGUAUGCUACACGUAUGGGGGAGUGAACGUGUUGAUGAUUUUAGACGUUAUAUAGUUAUGGGGGAGUUCGAGUGUCAAAAAUAUUUUGGAGCUCAUGAAGUAUGGGGGAGUUGCUCGAUGGAACUUCUGUUGAAUCCUUGAUUGCUUCGGAAAUUCCUAGUUGCUUCCGUUCGGUCUCUGAUGCUUAAAGCAUCUUGCUAAAGCUGGAUAACAAGAAUUACUGACUUGUUAUGUGUUUCUAUCUUCAGUUAUUUUGUAGGCAUGUUUUAUAAAUGCCAUGGUUUCGGCUUGUAAGCACGUUUUAUAAGUGCUAUUAGAGUCAUAGGUUUUUGUCACAAAAUCAAUGUCAAAGGGGGAGAUUGAAACCUGCAUGAAGUGGUUUGACAUCAAUUUUGUGACAAAGUGUCCUUGGUUAUCUCGCCUUGAAUUCAUUGUUAGGAAAAUCAAGAUGUACGCAUGGUCGUCUCGUGUCCUUCGUGUCUCUUGGUUUUGUCUAAGAAAAGCUAUUGGGUACUGGACGUACGUACCGAGUUAGGACGUACGUACGUCCACUGAAGCAGCAAACAUCUUUUGGUCAGGACGUACGUACGCAGUUAGGACGUUCGUACGUCCAAGCAGGCAGCAAACUUUUACCGUGUGGGGACGUACGAACGUUGAUUCGACGUACGUACGUCCAAUAUGGAUUUUCAGUAUUUCGGCCCAUUUUCCUUGGUUUCCAACACUAAGUAUAAAUAGGGUUUCUCUUCCAAAGAACAAGUCAGUUCUUUGGCCGUCUAUUCUUCUUCUAGUUCAUGUGUUUUGGUUUAGGUUUUGAUAUUGAAAGUGUUUGUGGCUAUUGAACUCAAUUCCCUUUCUUCCCCCUUCUCUCAAUUCAUAUCUUUGUGAUCUUCAAGAGUUAUUGUGAAUUCGGCUUGGAGUCUUCUUGUGUGUUCAUCAAGAAGUCGAGUGUCUUGUGCGUACAUCAAGGUGCUCUGGUGAAGUCAAGGUGUUAGAGAUAACCAGGAGUAUCAACUCGCAGUGAGUGCAGGUAGUUGAUAGGUUUGUACAUCUCUUUUCAUCUAGUGGAUUAUUUUGUUGUCGCGAGGACAACCGUGGACGUUUCCCUGUUUGGGUUUUACCACGUUAAAAAUCUCUAUGUGUUAUUUACUUUCUGCAUAUUGUUUGAUUGCUUGUUUGAAUUUACAAUUGUUAUACUAGCACUAUUUGUAGUUUCUCACCUAAUAACUUCGAUAAAAUUAGAUGGAUGGGAACUAAGAAUGGUACCUUUUCUGUUAAAUCUUUGUACCAAAUCCUCAACACUAGCCAGCCCAUCCCCAAUGAUAUUCAGAAAAUAAAUCUCAGAAUCUGGAAAAUCAUGGCUACUCCUAAAGCCCUUCUGUUCACAUGGAAAUGUUUCCAUAAUGCUGUCCCUACUAGAGAAAGACUAGGAAGGCACUUAAGUAUCCCUCGUAAAAAUUGUCCCAUGUGUGAUUGCCCCUUAGAAACUCUGAGACACAUGAUUCUUGACUGCCCUUUCACCAUUGUUGUUUGGUUCCAUAGCUCCAUCCACUUCAGGCUAACUCACUUUAGGAAUAUGCCUCUUCAAAAUUGGUUACACUAUUGGAUUAAACCACCUGAUAAUUGGUUGAUGGAAACAAACCCUUGGAGCUCUUUUUGUAUUUGUGCAACUUGGGAAAUUUGGAAGACUAGAUGCUACAGAAUUUUUCAGAAUAGCAAUGAUUCCCCCCUUGCUAUUGCUACCAAGAUUGAUAAACUGAUGAUGAUUUACCAUAAGUCUGCAUUACCAACAGGAAGUCCAGCAACUGUCCCCAACUUUACUACUAUUUGGAUUCCACCAGCUUACGGGAAUGUUAAAAUAAAUGUGGAUAUUGCCUUCUCUACUGCUGAUGGCCCCUUCGGCAUUGGUUUUCUUAUAAGAACAUAAUCUGGAUCUUUUAUUACUGCAGGCACAAAAUCAGGGAAUGCUGGGACCUCAGAAGAAGCAGAAUGUCAUGGAAUCAGCUGCACAAUUAGGGCAGGGAUCCAACACCAACUAACAGACGUGGAGAUCGAGACUGACAACAAAGGAGCAUCUGACUUUCUGAAUGGGGGAGCUUCAAACUUGUCAUGGAUCUCACAAAACAUUUUAAUUUCUGCACAAGCUCUAUCUAUUAAGUUCAAUCAUGUAUGCUUUAAAUUUUGCAACAGGUCUGGGAACCAUUCGGCUCACAUCCUUGCACAUCAUGCGGAUAGAAGCUCAAUGGUUCCUAUUUCCUAUAGUGCACCUCCAGACUGGCUACUGCCUCAAUUAUCAGAGGAUCUAUGUUUAUGUAAUAUUGCGAACUAGUAGCAUCUUUCUAAUAUAAUGACUAUUCAAAAAAGAAAAACAACAACAAAUAGUAAUAAAAUGAGGCAAAUAGUAUUCGCCCACUAUGCUAUCAAACAAUGACAAAUUUAAAACACCCACUAUCAGUUUGUCAUUAUCCACUAUAAUUUACCAUGGCAAAUCAAAAUUUAUUUUGCCAUUACCCACUAUCCUAUCAAACACAGCCUUAGUUUUAGCAGAUGAUUAUUAACAAUAUUAAAGCAGUGAUCGACAACAUUUUCCUUCAUAGAUUUACACUGGGUAAUAUUGCAGAGUAGUGACAGAAGCAUAAUUCCUUAAAUUGUGUCCAUGCAAAACUCAUUUUGAGCUCUGUCACUGUCCUCCUAUAGUUGUGCCACUGCCAUUCUUUAGCUAGUUUCCACGAGGCAGUAGUUGUCUAUUUUUGUCGAUAUUUUGAGGGAGAUUGUGUCAAAACAAAGGGGAAAUCAUUACAUAUUUUGCAAAUUUAUGUGGUUGACAGCAAUCAGAAGUCAGCCAGGAAGAGAAGCUAGCUACUAAAUUUAAUUGUAUACUCUAUGACAAUAAUCAGUACUAAAAAUUAAUUCCUUGAUUUUCCUGCUAUCAAUCUUAACAUAUUGAUUCCUCAAUGCAUUCAUGUGAGAUUCAAAAUUUUAUAAUUACGCAAACCUGCACUAAGAAAGCAUAAUUGGAAUAUCCAAAUAGUAGUUGAAACAUGUCAAAAGCUGUUGCAGUUUUGAAAUGACCUCAAACAUAUGUCUUUGAUUAAAACUCCAGGCAAAUGAUUCUGCUGCUACAAUAACUACAAAGUGUUUCUCCUAGUUACAGUGCACUUAAUGUUUGCUGAUGUGGCAACUAGCAAUUAUUUGCAACUAUCAAUCAACCCUUGGAACUUGGUAGUAUUUUCCUGAAAGUCAUUCGAGCUAGACCACCUCGUUUGAACUCUUAUUUGGGUGCUUUCCAUCCAAGAUGUCUAUUUAAAAGCUCUAUAUCAGAAUUCCUUCAAGAAAAAAAAACCCAAAAGUUUUACACAAGGGUCAAGGGAGGGAGGGAGAGAAAUUAGAAAAGAAACCCAAGUUAGUAUAGCUUCAUUAGCAUCAAUUAAUGGCAAAUGCCAUGCUCCCUCCUCUAAGCCCACUAGCAUCAUUCAUCAACACUCCAGUUCUCACUUUCUAUGUUCUUGGGGUUUGUGAAUUAGAAGUCCCAUUUGAUAAACCUCAAGCUGUAGAAUUCCUUGAACAUGGCUUUCUUCCACUUAGUAAGCGUUUCUCUUCAAUCAUCGUUACAGAUGAGAAAAAAGUUCAAAGAUGGAAAAAAGUCGAGUGUCAGACAAAAGAUCAUGUUAUCGUUCCCACCUUUCCUUCAGGAUUAACCCAAGAAGAAUACGAUGUAAAACUCGAAGAUUACAUUUCUGACAUAUACAUGGAACAACUUCCUGAAAAUCGUCCUCCAUGGGAAGUGCACUUGUUUAUGUACCCAACAUCUAAUGCAGCUGGAACAAUGUUGUUUAAGCUAAACCAUGCACUUGGUGAUGGUUACUCAAUCAUGGGUGCCUUACUAACUUUGUUUAAAAGAGCUGAUGACCCUUCUCUUCCUCUUAAAUUUCCUAGUGCAUCUUCAAGACUGCCUGGAUUAGCACUCUCCAAUUAUUCAAGAGUGUCUAACUUUGUGUAUAGGUGUGUCAACACUUUUACUGAUUUUACCAAGGGUUUACUUGGUACUUAUUUAGAAGACGAUGACACCGUCCUCCGAUCAAAGACACCCAUGGUGGAGUUUGCGCCGGUGAACAUUUCGUCCGUCACCUUCUCCCUUGAUCAGAUUAAAGAAGUCAAAUCCAAAAUUGGAGCAGUAAGUUGUCUAUAUAUAUCCUUUAAAAUUAUGUUUUUAAUUUUUAAACUACUCGUAUAUAAUUAUGUGAUUUAACUAUUAGUUUAACUGUGAAUCUUCCAUCUGUAUGCAUGGUAUGUUCAUGGCCAUGGGAAUUAAUAAACAAGUAACUUUUGAGAAGGACACCAAUCAUGUUUUUCUUGGUGAGAAGGACAAUCUCUUUUGAGUCAAUCUCUUUGAAAGUCAUGGUUGAAAAGGAUAUGCAGUUUUUGUUGACUUGUUGAAAAUGAGAAAGACUUAUGAUUUUAGGUAGAAUCAUAGUGUCAAAAUUUGGUGCAAUUCCGACUUUGCCCUUUUCCACUAGGGUUAAUCACUCCCUAUCUAGGUUAUAGUGUUUUGUCUAAAAAAUUAAAUUCUUAUAUAUGAUUUGACCUAAAAUCAUACUAUGAUUAGGGUGGGUAUUUUAGUCCAGAAUUUGUUGACUUCAAAGCCCUUUUCAAUAAGAAACCAUCUGUUUCUGUCCUUUCGAAUAAGUUUCCCGUUAAUAAAUAUGGGCUUAUAGCAUGUUAAUGUGGGUUCCACAUGACAUGAAACAUCUUGUGAAUCUUGUGAAUUUGAGAAAAAUAGAAUUAACAAAACAAUUAAUAAACAAAAAAAAUGCAUAAAAAUGAAUAACUAUUUGCAUGAGUUGAUCAAGCAAGAGCAAAGAUCUCUACUGUUCUGAUUUCUUCAACGCUGGUAAUCUUUAAUUUCUUCUUCCUAAGUUAUAGUCUAUUGAAUAAUAUACUUAUCUAAACAAAUUAUUGUUUUGCAUUUUGAACAGACAGUGAAUGAUGUUACAACUGGAGUAAUAGCUUAUGCGCUGCAAUUGUACAUGAAAAGGAAGGGGCAGUUUGUGGGCGAAACGAAGAGCACUGCAUUGAUUGUGAUGAACUUGAGGAUGUACAGAGGCUUCAAAAAUCUUGAAGAGAUGUUAAAAGCAAAUAUAUGGGGAAAUCAUUUUGGGUUUUUAACAGUUUCACUUCCAUCUUUUAAUGACAUUGAUAAUGUUGAUCCUAUAGAGUAUAUCACCAGAUCGAAGAACGAAGUGAAAAGAAGAAUGAAUUCAAUGGCUAGUUAUUUCACUAGCAAAUUCUUGGCCAUACUAGGAACACUAAGAGGCCCAGAGGUUAGGAUUUUUAUUGAAAAAAAAAAAAAAAAAUAGUUACAUUGAUUCAGAGAAAAACAUAAAUGUGAUUAUUUUUUGUGAAUGCAGGCCGCAGCUGAGUACAUACACUCAAACUUGAGGAACACAAGCAUAAUGAUAUCAAAUAUGGCUGGCCCUGUUGAGAAAGCUUCGAUGGCUGGACGCCCACUUAAAAGCUUCUACUUUACCGUGCCUGGAGUACCUCAGGUGAAAGAAUACGCAUCUUAUUUCUAUAAUCAAUACAGCUUUUUUCCUGAUGAUUCAUGUUUACUAAUAUGUACUGGUGGUGUUACAGAGCCUUGUGUUUACCAUAGUUACUUACAUGGGAAAACUAAGAUUGGUGGUAAACUCAGAAAGGGGAUAUAUUGAUCGCGACAUGCUCACUUCGUGCUUAAAAGAAGCAUUCACAAAAAUAUAUGCAGCGUCCGUAGGGGAACAUCCGGUGAAGAUCGAGUAAAUUGAACUGGCUGCAUUUCCUGCCAGAAUGGCAAAUAAGGACUUCAUAAAUUCCAUACCAUAUCUGGCCAAACAAAAAAAAAAGGCCAAUAUUGAUGUGAAUCACUAUUUUACCAUUGUGACUAUUUUAUAAAAUGUUUGCUUUGGAAACUUUGAUAAGUGGUACAUGUAUUACCCUCUGCUAUCAAAAGAAAUGUUUUGUCAAAUGAAAUUUGUGUACGAGUGACCUCCCCUAUUUUUCUAGUUUCUACUUUUUAAAAGAAAUAUGAUCCUGAUCACUGCAAUAAAAUAGAUAAGUAAAAAUCGUCAUAUUUUGAAAAUUAAUUGCUCAACUUCAAUUAUUCAGCUUGCCAAUAUAAUUCAAGUAAUUCUAAUUGAUUCUUAACCUUUAUGUAAAUCUGUCAUUUUCCAUCCAUAAAUUCAAGAAGAUAAUUCCAAAAUUCUACAGUAAUAUCAAGCGCCACCCAACCCAAGUGAUUUUGCAAUGACAAGUGCAUUUUUGGACUAAUCUCAUCUUUGUGGUACCCCCAUGUAUAUGUUUCCUUUAGAAAGUUUAUCUCAAUGCAUCAAAAGGAGCAAGAACUUUGUCAAGUUGUAGAUUUCCUAUCACCAAACAAGUAGUGAUCUGUCUCCAAUCCUGUAGCUGAUAGCCAUAUAUGAACAACAAAAUGAAUAACUUCCACUAGUUUCUUUUAUGAAGGAUUUUAACAGGGGUGGAAGCAGCUCCUUGGUAUUGCAAAGAUCAAGUAGAAGGUAUCCAGAUGACUAUCAAGAAUUUUGAUGUUUUCUCCAUCACACACACUUAUAGAGAGAGCAAUCAAAGAGCUAUGUUGCGGGGCUUGGAGGCACCAGUCUUCAGAAUCCAAUUUACUUUUCUGGUCCUGAUGACGUAAUGUUGCAGGAGAUAUUAGAGAGAGAGAGAACAGGAGUGCUGUAUAUCAGAUUAACUUAAAUGAAAUCUGGUGAGGGUCUGCCUUAACCCUAGCUUACCAGUAAAAAAAAAAGUUGGGUCCAAGGCAUAUUCACUAAUAGUCCAAUAACCAAAAGGCUUUAAACUCUACUAUGUGCUUGCCCGCGCUCUGCGCAUGUUUUUCUGUUUGGACCAAUUUAUUCAAUUGAGAUUUAUUUAUUGUUUAAUAUAAAAAUUUAGUAUUUUUUUUUAUAGAUAUUGCGGCAUAGUUUAAAAUUUCGAUUUCGGGAGAAAUUUCUUUUUCUAAAAUAACAGCAUAUGCUGAGAUUUCGACACUGAAAAUCACAGUGCAAAUCGAGAUUCGCGAAAUUUUGCGAGAUUUCAUGGUACUGAAUUCUCAAAUAUCGCCAUAUACCGUCGAGAUUUCGCAAAAUUUAACGAAAUUUUAAACUGUUGAUAUUGGUAGUUUGGUUAUUUUUUGUUAGAUAAAAUAUCUUGUCAAGUUUAUGUGAAAUUAGGGUAUAUUAAUAAUUUUCUUGGUGAGUUUGGUUAAAUAGAGGUAUUUGGAUGUUUUUCAUGGGUAUUAUUUUAUUCUAAUACAGGUUAUAUUGUUAUUUAUGUGAAAUGUGGUUAUUUCGGUACUUUAAUAAUAUUGUAAAGUGGGCCAGAUUAUAAGCCAAAAUAUUGGGCUUAACUAUUAAGUUAUAGAGAUGGGCUCAUUUGAACUGGGUUGUAGAAAUGGGUUUAUACGAAAUUAUAUACGUAUAGGACACGUGUUAAAACUUUUGAGUAAGGAGACAGAGACGUAUGGUGACCUCAUUUGCCCUGCUCUCUUUAUAGUAGUUUAGAUUUAGUAUUUACUGAAGAAAUGGGAUACAUGCAUAGAUUUUAAAUCCAGGCAAAAUUUGAGGUCCAAAAAACUAAAUAAUACCGCGAAAUUUAGAAGCCAUGUUUCGGAAUUGUGAUGUUGAACCUAAUAGGAAAUUAUGAAUAACGAAAUUUCGAGAAUAUCUGAAAUAAUUUGAAUUUCGGAUAGGUUAUGAAAGUUGACCAAUUACUUUAUAUGGAAACCUAUUGUUUUUAUCAUAUUAGAUAUUUUUAAAUAUUUUUUAACUUAAUUUUAAGAAAUUGACUUGAAUUUUUUUGGCUAUAAAGUAUCUGUAUUAAAUCGUGUGAUAUUUGAAAAUAAAUUGCGAUAUAAUUAAAAUAUUGAAAAUAUCUUGAUAUAUCGGCGAAGAAAUAUUUUAGAUCUCCAUAUUCUACUUUCUACUUUCUACUUUCUACUUAAAAUUAAAUCUUUCUGUCACUAUCUGAAGAAGAAGAACCACGUUGUAAAGAAUUUAGGGGCCUGUUUACUUGGGGAAAACAGUUUUCCAUUUCUAAUUUUCUUUUCUAUCUCUAGUUUUCUUUUUCUAAUGAAAAUUAGAAAACGUGUUCACUUGAUUUUAAAAAUUAGAAAACUGUUUUCUGUUUUCUAAUGUUUUUCUAAUUUUUUUAACAACUUCAAUGAAAUGUUACCUACCCUUGUGUCCUAAGCAAUCUUCUUUGCGCAAUAGUCCCACAAAUUAAAAGCAACGACAACAAACUAGCUCUACGAAUUCUAGCAGGUUGUUUCUUUUUCAAUCCAUCUAAAGCAAAAUUAACUUCAUCAACAUGUUUCAUCAUUUCCCCAAAUUCUUGUGCUUCCAUUAAUGUUGAAGUAGCCAAUACUGGCAUAGAAUUAGACCUACCCACUUUUAAAUUUCUUGAUUUCUUCAAUUUUGAAGAAACCCCUUUUUUUGAAUUUGGUAAAGGUGGUCGAGAUUGAUGAAGGGGUGGUUGUUGAGAUUGAGAUUGAGAUUGGGAUUCAGAGAAAGUAGUAGUAGUAGUAGACCAAGGGCAAGAAUCUUGUGAAGAAGAGAAAGAAAAGUUAUAAACGUCUUGUGAAAGUGGUUGUUGAGAAGAAGAAGAAGAUGAAAUUGAAUCAAUUUCUUCUGAAUCUGAAUAAUUUGUAUUAAUAAAACGAUUUUUACGUCCAUAUGUUCGAACAAUCAUCUUGAAUUGAUAUAAAUUGAUAAAAAAGAUUCAAUCUUUCAUCAAUUUUCUUUAAGAAAAUUAGCUAAACAAGAUGAAUAAGAUGAAAAAGCUAUUUAUGUUUUGCGAGAAGAAGAAGAGAUCGAUGUUUUCCUUUCAAUUUUUUUUUUCUUAUGUUUUGCUCGCAACACGACGUUUUCCAAAUAGAAAACUCUAAAUAGGUGUUUUCCAACUUUAAACUUAAAUCAGAAAACAGAAAAUUUUGGAAAAUUAGAAAACUGUUUUCUAAAUUAGAGAAAACAACGCAAAUAAACACGUUUUCCAAUUUUCGUUUUCUUUAGAGAUAGUUUUCCAGAAAACUGAAAAAGUUUUCCACAAGUAAACAGGGCCUAGAUCUUCAAAAGAUUGAAGAUGGAUAAAUAGAACCAGAUCUCAAACGAUCUUUAAUCUCGCUCUCUCUCUGGUUGAAGACAGAAUCAAAUAGUGAAUUUUAUGAAGAAUUUGCGUAGCAUAUUUUCAGUAGCAUAUAUGAUUUGAAAUGUUAUGAGAAAUCCUUGGAACAUUUUUAAUUCUACUAUUACAGGUUGCCUCUGGUUAAGCUAUAAAUGAAUUAGCUUAAUAUUAUGUCGAUUCUCUUUCAGAUCAAGCAAUAAGCUAGACAAUUAACGAUUUCAUAGCUUAUGGAUUUUACCAAACAUUAUAAACUGGUUUUCUGAUAUUCUAUUCAUUGACUCGAACAUUUAGGAAUUUUGAGAGAUUUAAGCCAAUUUGUGUAAACUGAUGUUUCUCCGAAUGUCGUCCAUUUUAGAAAACUUGGAGUUUGGUAACACAAAAAAUUUGGAUAAAAAUAGAUCACUUACACCAAACGCAAAAUUUGGCCAUUGUCAAUUUGCCGAAAUUUUCAUGUUAUUGGACAUUGAGCCGAAUUGAGUCGAUAUUUUAAUGUUUCCAUCAUUUAUAGUGAUUUGUGAUUUGUUGUGUUGGCCUUGAAUUGCACAAUACACCUAGUUUUGUGAUAUUCUAUUUACCUUCAUUAUUAGUUGAUAUGUUUUAGGAAUAUUGGGAGGUUGAUGACAGUAGGAAAAAAUAUACUAUGAGUACACUUGGCUCUGAGUUGUUUAAGAAUAAAAAAGGCAAAUGGAAGAGAUAUCAUUAUUCAUGCUACGACAAUUAUGACGACGUUAUAGCCAAUAAACAGCAGAGCAACUGUCACACCAAGAAUGGGCUCUUCUAGUAGAGCAUUCGGAAACUCCAGACCAUCAAAUACAAAUUAGUUGCAUUUUAAUGUAUAUUUCAGUAUUUUUUGAAAAAUAUGUGUUCAACUAUUUUGUUGUGGAAUGUAUGCAGGUAUUAUCUGAACGGAACAAGGGUAACCGUGGUGAACAAAUAGCAAAGCAUACUAUAAAAUUGAAUAGAAUGUCAUAAUGUAUUGAUGUAUUUCUCUGUACAUAAGCAUACAAUUUAGGGAGACUUAUUGGAAAGGACAGAAAGAAACAAAUGGUUUCUUAUUGAAAAGACUUUGAAGUCAACAAAUUCUGCACUAAAAUACCCACCCUAAUCAUAGUAUGAUCAUAGGUCAAAUCAUAUAUAAGAAUUUUUUUUUUAACAAAACACUAUAACCUAGGUAGGGAAUGAUUAACCCUAGUGGGAAAGGGCAAAGUCGGAAUUGCACAAAAUUUUAACACUAUGAUUCUACCUAAAAUCAUGAGUCUUUAUCCUUUUCAACAAGUCAACAAAAACUGCAUAUCCUUUUCAACCAUGACUUUCAAUAAGAUUGUCCUUAUGGAGGGUUGACUAAAAAGAGAUUGUCCUUCUCACCAAGAAAAACAUGAUUGGUGUCCUCAAAAGUUACUUUUACAAUUUAUAGAGAAGAAGGGUUUCUCUAAGGUAACUAGUUUAGAUCCUAAAUUACAGUAGGUAAUUGAUACAAUCUUAUAUUUACACAUGUAUUACAUGUUAGCUAUCUAAAUAAGGUAACAUAUAAUAUAUAUGAUCUUGCAUAUCUUCAAUCUAGGAGAAUUAGCUUUCCACAACUAAGAAAGAAAAUUGUAAGUACAUUUUUAUAGUAUUUGCAAGUUGAUAUUCAAUUCAAAACAUGUUUAUUCAAUUUUUUUUUUUUUUUUUUUCUGGUUGGAUAGAAUCAUGAGCACGGUGUGCCCCAACAACCCAAGGAGAUUUCUUUAAGAGUACUCAUAGAAACCGUAAAACAAAUGAGCCUCGAUGAGUUAUCAACGCAUUACAUUGUAUGGAAGCCUCACUUCAAGUUUAAUAUCAAUUUGAAUAUUAUUGGACGUGAUUAUUACUUAAUACUUUUUUUUUUUUAAAUAUAAGAGAAAAUGUCAGAGCUAGCAGGUAGAGAUGAGCAUGAAGUUGAACAAUCCAUCAGUGAUGACAUAUAUUAUAAAGUGAUGCCUCCAGACCGACAUGGACGUGUGUGACUAAUGGGAAGAGGUGAGAUUCCGACAAGUAAUUUUGGGUCCCGAACAUCUUCAUCGAAUCAUAAUGGUGCCCAUCGUAUUGAACAAUUAAAGAAUGAACUAGCUGAGAUGAGAAGGAAAAGACAAGAAAGAGAAGAGGAAAUUGUAUUAACCUGUUUCCAGAUUAAUGCAUUAACUAGGUCAGGUCGUUGUUUGACUGACCAAAGUGGGAGUUUGAGAUCGGAGGUGGCUGCACCUCGAUGAGAUCGAGAUUGCCUACGUACUCUAGCUCGAGGGAGUGGAACUUAGAGAUCAAGCCAUCGUAGUUCUGUUCUUAUAGAAGGUGAAAGGGCGCAGAUCAUGGGAUCGUGCGGAUUCUCCGAUAUCUUAAUGAAUGCGUAACGUCUGACAUUAAAUAUGUAACAGGCCAGGAUAUUCUCUGAGGAUUGGUGAAGGGGCACGUGUGAAUAAAGAGGUCGCCAACGGUCAUAAGCUCGAGUUGUUCUGGUCGGAGUGAGUUAGGUCGUGUUGUGGGCGACUUGGUGGAUUGUUGAGCAUGCCACGUGUCGUGUUUUGAUUGGCUGUUGUAUAUAGUAGAGCUAUAAAUCUUGGCCCAAUGCCUUCAACCCGAACCGACCCAGCCCUAAAAAAAAACACAUUUGGCCCUUACAACUCGGCCCUCACAGAUUUUAGGGUCGGGUCGGGCCGACCUUUUAGAAUUUAAGGGUCGGGAUAGGGUUUUAUAUUGAUGCAUUAAUCCGACCCUAAGCCGGACCCUUGUUAGGCCCUAUAAAAUCCUUUAUUUGGCCCUAAAACUUGUUAAGUAUAUUUUUUUAUUUAUAUAAAUUUAUUAUUAUUAUUCUUAGAAUUUUUAUACAUAGAAUAAAGAAUGAAAAGUAUAAUAAUAUUUACAAUUAUGUUUUUAAAUAUAAAAUCCUCAAAUAACCUCUAGGUUUCUUUUUAUCUUCUAAACUUCAUAAACUUCGUUGGCGUGAAAUCUAUGAGAUGAAAGAUACUAUGUGUUCCUCAAUCAAACGUAUGGACUAAUCAAACAACUCUACUAUAACAAACAAUUAUAUAUGUGGCUUCCAAAGUUAUUUUUGCCAUGUGAAAUUAAUUUCAUAUAUAUUAUACUUGUGUUCUUUUUCGAUAUAAAGUUACGAUAUUAUAAACCAAUUUAUUACAAUUGAGACGAUUUUAUCAAUGUUAUAAAUAAAAAAUCAAUGUUAUAAAUAAAUAAAUUUACCAAAAACAAAAUCAAUGUUAUAAAUAAAAAAUAUUUCAAAGUUCAAAUAUUCAACCUUGGCCUCAAGUCCGACCCUUAGGCUCAGCCCUAUGAGCCCUAUGUUUAAAGUGCUGAGGGGCGGGCUAAGGCUUAAGAUAUUAGUCAUUAGCCCUAACUGACCCGACCCUAUGCAAAUGUUAAGGCCGGGCUGGCCCGACCCUAAAGUCUUUAGGGCUUGUCAUUUAACGGUCGGGCCAGCCCGACCCGGCUCGUUUUACAGCUCUAGUAUGUAGUACCCCUACAUAAGCCCCCUCUUUUUAGUUCGAUAGAAUAUCGGGCUGAAAAGAACUUUUGGUUGCGAGGCGAACUGGUUGAUACGACCACAUUUUUGAAUUUUUGAAAUUGUACAGGUGGUUUCCAUGCAUUACUGUUGGACACCAUCAUUGUGUUUCAUGGGGAAGUGUAGCGGUUUCCUCGAGUAGUUAACUUGUAAUAUUUUGGCAACUGAAGUACGCCUUGUUUGAUGCUCUUCUAUUCGACACGUGGAUUGAUCCAACGGUGGAUGUGAAUAGUCGGAGUAGUAGGCAAUAACUGCAAAGGUCGUGUUUGUCCACAUGUAAUCUUGUCCGUUGAUUAAAAAUUCAUCGAUGGUUGGGAUCUCUCUUCGAUUUGUAUUUAAACUGAAGUUUGAUAUUGGAUUCCUUACUUUUUUUCAUUUGCUCUCUCGAACUACUGCCAUUUUCUCAUUGCGACCUAAAGAUCUUGAGAGCUUUUGAGGUGAGUACCUUCUUCCUUAUUAUUUACUUCCUGUUUCAUUUUCCUUUUCCUGUUUUUUUUUUCUUGUAGAGAUGUCAGAAGGUAGUGAUUCACAAAACGAGCAUUUGAGUGGUGAUAAUGCUGGUUGUUAUGAGUCAGAAGAUUAUAGGACUCGAUCUGGUGAUGAUGCUUGCUCUCCUAGUCGAGUGGGGGACCAUUUAGAUGAGAAUAGCCCUGGUAGUAGUGGUCCUUGUGGGGAGGACAGUUCUGAUGAUGAGAUGGUAGAGGGUGAAAACGGUUGUUUUCAUCGUGUAGUUAACCAUUCCUAUGUGAAGAGGCAUCUUGCCUUUAGGAAGAGCUAUGAGUUUGACUCCAUUAGCAACCUGGACAUAAGGUUUUUGGGAGAUCGUUUGCUUAUAGAAGGGUAUCGACCUAACAAUCCUUUCUCUACUGUUUUUACUUUGCCCCAAUUUCGAGCUGGGCUUAGGCUACUCCUUUCUCGUUUGGUAGUCGACCUUCUGAGUACUAUCAAGCAAGUUCCCUGCCAGAUGAAUGGGAAUUUCUGGAGAAACAUGAGGGUUAUAGACGAGCUGAACAGGUUGCUCAAGUGGGGGGUUAAUGUAGGUGAUGUUUUAGGUCAUUUUUGUUUCAAACGAUCUGCAAAGUUGGAGGCAGGAGGUUACAAUAAAAAAAAUGCAGGUCAGGCCUGAACGUCUGCCUUUGAUUUAUCCUAUUAGUAGUGAGCCUUGGUGGAAGGAGCCCAUGCUGCUCACUGGUCGAGUUACUGAGGAUAACAUUCUGUUGUUGUACGUUACUAGGAAUUUGUCUGACGAACGUAAGUGUGGGUGCAAAAAUUUGAUCCACAAACUCGAGAUAUGUAUAUAUUAAUCCUACAGUUACAAUGAAAGCCUUGUAUAGAAAGAGAUAGGAUGGGGGGUAUACAGUGAGACUGGACCUGAUCGGGAUCAGGCUGCCUACGUAUCCAAGAUGAUGAACUUGGAAUCAAGUCUCUGCUUCCACUAAGCUCUAAUGGAGUUGCUCAGUGAAAGACUAGUAGUUCAGGAGGUUUAGAACUCCUGUAUUUGUAGUAGGCCGGAGGAGGCUGGCUCUUUACUCCACGAACUCGGGUUGUUCAACUGUGAAGAUGCUUUCCGUGGAGAUAGCUUGCAUGCUGCCGAGCGGUUAUCUCCUUGGUUUGAAUCCACUUUGACCAGGAUGACUGCCACGUAGCAUCCUCUGAUAGGUCCUGGUUCAACCUGGGUUUCCUUUAUCUUCUCCAGCGGGCUAGAACCAUGGGUUCUGUUGGCCUGAAAUCUCGCUGGACUUAUCCAGUUGGUUGGGACUUGGAUUGACCAAGCCUGAAAGCAAAGACUUGGGCUUGACUCCUCUGACCGGAGGCCCAAUCUACACUGCAUACUCCCUGUCCAGGUCCUAUGGACUUCUGUGCUAAGCCUUUGGAUGAGCCCCUGUCGCUGCUGGACCUUACUGGGCCGGACCUGGCCUACUUGACUGAGGUGGGCCUGGUCGAUGUAUGGGAGCCCACGGUUCAACUUCUUAUACAGUAACAGGGGCUCCACCCAUUAAUAGUGGACUAUCCUUGAGUCAAGGUCCACAGAGCGUAUGCGGAUCUCUUGAAACCGGGUUGGGCCCUACCCGAUAGCCCAGGCUUGGCUGGCUACUGCUCAGGUGCUCCCGAUUUAGCUUCUUAUACAGCCAUCGAUGACACCUGUCGGGUUUUUUACCUAGGGUACACACAUCGCCCCCUCUUUGUCAAGUAGAAAAUCUGCUUGGGAAAGAUCUUAGCAAUAUCUUCCCCGACUGUUGAGAUUCGGAGGAUUCCUUCCUUGACACGCUUCUUGAUGACGAUUCUGCAUCCCUUGGAUCAAGGACUAGGGCUUCUUUCCUCCUCUAUAAAUAGCAAACUGGAGGUGUAGAAGGAUAUCGACUUCUCUUUCCUCGGUUUCUGUUGCUGCUGUUGAAGCUUCUGCUGAAGAAUGGUUGAUGACCGUGCUGCUGAUUUGGCCCACGACGCAUUCAACCUUAAAGUAGAGCACGUGUUUAACCAAGCGCAGGCUCAGGAGAAGAACCUGGAGAAGGUUGUCUGGCUGGAGCAUGAUAUGAAGUUGUCCCUCAAGAAACGAGACAACAUCAUUGCAUCACUGCGCCAAAACCUUCGGCUCUCUGAAGACUCGUUUAAACAGGCGGAAGACCAGAUCCAAACCUUGAAAGAGAAGGUCUGGAUACUUGGCAAUGCUGCGGCCGGGGGUGCUAGCUGGGACCAGGUCGCUACUUCCCCCCCUACCACCUCGUGGAAUGCUUUGGCAGACUAGUUAAUGUAGCACCAUUGUUGAGGAGCAGUGCCCUCUUUUCUUGACUUUUAUUCAUCAAUAAAAAUCCCUUUUUCCAUGAACAAUGCCUAUGCUUAUCUUGUCUCGAUCUUGGCAGGUUGACUGUCGGUCCAUGGGAGACGGUUGCUUCUCGGGAAACAACUGGGUUGUGGCCCGGCCCUUUUUAACCUUAGUGUAGCUAAAUAAGGAGGGGUUUACUCUUGCUGAGUUAUUCCUCUUUCUUCUUCUUCCUUUGCUCAUCUUCCAUGGCAGCUAGGCAUUCUGAUUCUAGUUCCGUCGGUGACAAUCGGGAACAAUACCGAACGCAUCUCCUUAGCCGUGUGAACAGCUUGAAGGCGCAAGUGGUCGAACGGAAGACCAACGCCGGUGGGAGGAGUGCCAUGAGGGCCGAAUCACGGAUAAAGAUGAGGAAAUCUGGGGCCUCAAAGAAAAGCUGAUAUCUGCCUCUGCUGAGCUUUCCCGGAUGGGAGGCAAGAUAGACGUUGUUGCGGUUUCCUCAUGGAAGGAAGGAUACGCUGAAGCUAAGGCCAAGUACCAUGUCCCCGACUCGCCUGAGGAGUCCGGCCGGGAUCUUCCGUCUCCUCCCUUGAUGUAAUUUAGCUCCGGUCGCACUAUGUAGGGAACUCGGUGCAUCCCGUAUAAUGCAUUUCGUAAUAAAAUCAUGUUUCCUUCUAUUACUGUCUUGAGCUCCGGUAGGUAGAUCUGGUUAUUUUCUUGUUAUGUAGAGUGCAGGAACACAUGUCGAUCAAUCUUUACUUGAUCGUGGUGAUGUAGACCGGAGGUCCACAUAUCGCUGACCUGGACCAUGUGGACCCCACUCGUAGAUGUUGGAUCAAUCUUGCUGAGUGUACGAGGUAGGUUCCAACUGACGUGGGUCCCAGAUGACUGUACGACAUGGGCCCCAGCUGACUGUGUUAAGUGCGCCCCACUUCGUCUUCUCUAAAUCUUCCUUUGUUGGCGGGAAGAUGUACAGCUUCAACUUCCAGUGAAAGCUUGUGACUCUUCGCUGAUCGAGUAAUUAAAACCAGUUGGUUUAGUGACCUUAAUGAUGAUUUCAUUAAGAGAACCUGGAAUACCAUCAACCGGUGGACCCUGGGCUCUCCUUAUAAAAAGGGGAGGCUCGAAAGAGAGAUGGGUAUUCCCUUCACUCUCUUUCUCUUCCUUCUCUUUCAUUUCUACUUCGCCGGAACCUUAGGUUCUGAAACUCCAAAUUCCGGUGAUUUCACGCGAAUUCUACUCCAAAGAUGAGGAGAACCUUAGUCCUGAGCUCAAGUAGUGACGAAGAGCCUCAGAGUCUCUGGCUCCCCGUCCCUCUGCUGAUGAGGGCGGACAAAGUAGUAUUCCGGUGACGGGUCCACCUUCGCCUGCUGGUGUGGCAGAGGUGACUCACCUGAAUUUUGCCGAGCCUCCUGUUGAGAGGCCGAGGAGGAGGUGGCAAGCUUCCUUCAACCUGCCCCAAAAUCCUGAGCUUGAGCGGAUGAGCGCGGCAGAAGUUCAGGAACGGCUUGGCUGGAAAGGGGUCCGGUUUGGUUCCCACCCCUCCAUUUCAGACGGUUGCUCCGGCAGCCUUAUAGCGGUAAGUCUUUACUUAUGGCAUGCAGCUUCCGCUGCUGUCAUGGUGGGGGAUCCCACCCGGUCAGAUGCAUGUGUCCUUCUGGAUAAUCGUGCGUUGGAUCGGGCUGAUCGCUCUCCACUUCGAGAUUCCAUUUGGCCUGGUCGAGUUGUUCAUGCUCAUAAAGUCGGUCGCCCGGGAGGCCAAGGAACGCUGCUUCUACGCAUCUUUUAGCGUACUGCCCGGAGGUUGUCUGGACUUCCCAACCAUUAUGGGAAUUGGUUCGAACCCUGCUACCGGGUGUCAGGGUGGUCGUUUGACCGCAGCAUACAGGUGUCGCGGGACUUCAUAUGUAAGCAUGCGCCUGGCCUUUCUUUCAUUUUUGCCAUUAUGCUUCGUGUGCUUGCUGAGCUCCGGCUCAAGAACAGUGUUGUGCUUGUGUUUGCAGGGAAACGUCAGUUUCAGGUGUCUCUGCCAGCGGGGGCAGAUUCCUCUGCUGUUGAGGGGAACAUUGAGCACUUCUUCCGUCUGUCCGCAGACCUGCGGGACUUGACGCUCCCUGACCAGAUCGUAACGGAUAUCCGCUACCCAGCGAGGCUUGCCCUGCCGGCUCCUCCGCAGGUUGUGGAGGUGGAGUCCAGCUCUUGUGAAGGGGCUGCCACUGUAGAGAGCACGGUCCCUAGUGUUGAGGGGAAGUCUCCGGUUGAGAGUGAGGUUGUUGAUCUGCGGGGGGAGAUGGAUGACUGGCCCGAUGAGGUUCUUCCAGUCGGGGGUAAGAUCUUCUCCUGACGAGCCAAUGCCGGAUGUUCUGCGGAGGUCAUCCCUGUUGUCGGGGAUGUUCAGGUCAGUGAUGCUAGCUCUGUUUGUCAUUCAAACCCUCCCUUGGGUCGCCGGAGGAGGCUACAUGUCUUUUAUGGCUCAUCUGACUCCUCCGGUGAUCCAAGUCUGAUGUCGAGGGAUAGUGGACUUCUUCUUUCCCUUGGGUCUGGCGAAUCAGCUACUGAGGGAUUCUUUCCUACCCCAGUGCAGGUACAUGCUAAGGUGGACAACCUGGGCCAGCCGGAGAUGGUGGGAGGUGUGUCUGAGAAAACAGUGGUCGCCUCUGCUGUUGAGGAAGCCGAGCCAGCUGUGGUGCUGGGGGGUCCGUUGGAUGAAGUGGACGCCCCCAGUAUUGGAGAUGCUGGAGUGGAGGCUCUGGUGGAGGUAAGACCUUCCUAGCCUCCUUCUGGUGAAGUUGUUUCUGUGCAGUCCCCUGCCCCAGUUGAUCCGAGGGGCAAGGUUGUGGUAGAUGAGUCUGCCUGGGGCUCGAAGAGAGCUGUUUCUGCCUUCCCUGCUGACCACGGGGAGCUUGUGCGCCCGAGAAGGGAGGAUGCCAUCCCUCGGGUGCUGAGGGGACCGGUGAUGGGGACUACCCGGAUUAGUAGUGGCUCCCAUGUCCCUGUUGAAGAUGCUCUGGUCGUUGAGGACGUCCAGACUGAGGUGGAGUUCACCAUGCCGAGCACUGCUGAUGAUGAAGCCCCGGCUUAUGGGUGGGGUGACCAGGUCCCAUAUACUGACCUGCUCACUGGCCCCACUGUGCAAUUGGGCCCUGAACCGGGCGAGUACCAGCCUGAGGCCACUCCGGAGUUCUCGCUGCCGGCGUUCACCAUUCAUCCUGCAUUUCUGAGUGGUGAGCCGAUGUCGAUUGGGGACUCCGGCAUCAUGAACCUCCACACUGCUUUUGACUAUAUCUUCCAGAACCUGCUUCCAGAGAACCAGUCAUACUACAGUCGCCUUUCUCGCGACCGGGCGAUGAGGGUGGCUGCCCAGAAUCUCAUCGCGGUAGGAUUCCUUGACUUGAAUUCUGGCUUUAGACUUGUUGAUGUCUAUAUGUUUGUUUCUAAUCUUUGUUUCUCUUUCUGUCAGACACAAGCAUCCAUGGCCCGGGUCUUUGAGGUGAGUGUCAGACCCCGACCUUCUGCCUUGGAAGAUCUGGAGCGCCUGCGAGCUGAGAAUCGUUAGCUCGAGAAAGAUCUGGAGGCGGCCAACAGUGACCGGUGGGCUCUGGACGAGGACAAACGGUCCAUGGUGACAGACUACCAUAACAUGGACUUCACUCUGGACUUCCUUGGCAGAAUUGGAGGCUACUUGCGGGAAGCUGACCCGAGAAAAGCUGGAGCUGGACCGACUUCUCAUGCUCAAGGAGGCGGCGUACGACCGGGCUGCUAAAGAGCUCUGGUUGGCGAAGGCUGCCUAUCAACAGGUCCUCGACCAGCUGGAAAAGGAGAAGGCGAAGAAGGGCGGUAAUGGCCCCGGUCCUUCUUCUCAACCUUAGCUCCUUUAGAUUUUGUCCCGGUUGCCGGGGGACUUCCUCUUGCACAUAUUCGUUUCUCUUCCAAGAAAAUAAAAAUAAUAUUUUGGUAGUGCAAAAACAUCUUGUUAGAUAUCUUUACCUUGUUUACAGCAUUUAUUACAACUGACUAUCUCCCUCGCCCCUUUAUCGUUUUAAGGAGUUUUCCUUGGGACGAUAAUAGUUCUUUUUCUUGCUGACUCCAUGGCGAUUCAUGGUCUGCUACUGAAAAGGGGAUUUUUCCCUGUGCUGCAUGCUUCGACUGGGGGAAGGCUAGCUCGCCUAACGGCCCCGGUUUUUAAAAGUGGAUAGCCUCGCUCUUAAGAUAGAUUUCCAAGACCGGAAGCUAGGUCCAGGCAUCUCAGGCCUAAAAGGAGUGUAACUCCGCAUUCAGGACUUAGCCAGGAUCGGAAGCUAGGUCCGAGCAUCCUGGGUUGGUUGGGGUUUGAUCCCUGACAUCCCUGGUUCCAAGACCGGAAGCUAGGUCCGGGCGUCUUGGGCCUAAAAGGAGGAUAACUCUGCAUUUAGGACUUAGACAGGAUCAGAAACUAGGUCCCGGCAUCCUGGGUUGGAUUGGGUUUGAUCUUUGACAUCCCUAGUUCCAAGACCGGAAGCUAGGUCCGGGCAUCCUGGGUUGGAUGGGGUUUGAUCCCUGACAUCCCUGGUUCCAAGACCAGAAGCUAGGUCCGGGCGUCUUGGGCCUAAAAGGAGCAUAACUCUGCAUUUAAGACUUAGACAAGAUAGGAAACUAGGUCCGGGCAUCCUGGGUUGGAUUGGGUUUGAUCCCUGACAUCUCUGGUUCCAAGACCGGAAGCUAGGUCCGGGCGUAUUGGGCCUAAAAAGAGCAUAACUCUGCAUUUAGGACUUAGACAGGAUUGGAAACUAGGUCCAGGCAUCCUGGGUUGGAUGGGGUUUGAUCCCUGACAUCCUCGAUCUCCAAGACCGGAAGCUAGGUCCGCGCGUCUCGGGCCUAAAAGGAGCAUAACUUUGCAUUUAGGACUUAGACAGGAUCGGAAACUAGGUUCGGGCAUCCUGGGUUGGAUGGGGUUUGAUCCCUGACAUCCUCGAUCUCCAAGAUCGGAAGCUAGGUCCAGGCGUCUCGGGCGUAAAAGAAGCAUAACUCUGGAUUUAGGACUUAGACAUGAUCGAAAACUAGGUCCGGGCAUCCUGUGUUGGAUGGGGUUUGAUCCCUGACAUCCUCGAUCUCCAAGACCGGAAGCUAGGUCCAGGCGUCUUGGGCCUAAAAGGAGCAUAACUCUACAUUUAGGACUUAGCCAGGAUCGGAAGCUAGGUCCGGGCAUCCUGGACCUCAGUGGAGACUUGAUCUUGCACUUAGGAUUUUUAGCAGCAAAUAAUACCAAGUACUCAAAUUCUUACGGCCGGGAAAGAAUCUUUAUUGAAAUCAUCAAAUGGAGUACAUUAUUUGUAGAAUUUCUUGAGGUGGAAAGCGUUCCAUGGUCUGGAGAAGAGGUCGUCGGACAGAGUUCUGAGGAAGUAUGAGCCUUUCGCAGCAUGUCUGUCUAUGAUGUAAGGUCCUUCCCAAUUUUCUCCAAGCUUUCCAACGGUUGUAUCCUCAGUCAUAACUUUGACUUUUCUCAUGACCCAGUCGCCCGGAUUGAAUUUCCUCUUUACGACUCGCUUGUCAUAUCCCCUUUUGAUGGUCUCCUGGUACCCGAGGAGGUGUUGUAGGGCCUGCUCUCUAUUGUCGUCAAGAACAGCUUUUUCCCUUGCCAGAAUUCCUUCGUUCUCCCCGGUAAGGACAGCAUCAGUGCGGGUUGUGGGAGCUAGCAUUUCUGUUGGCAUUACCGCUUCUGCUCCAAAGGUAAGUUGAAACGGUGUCAUACCGGUGGACCCAGUUGCCCAUAAGACCCCCGGGAGUUGCAUCACCCAGUUGUCUUUUGCUUUAUCCAGCCGCUUCUUGAGUGUAUCCAAGAUAACCCGGUUGGAUGCCUCUGCCUGCCUGUUCCCCUGAGGAUAGUACGGGGCUGAGAAGUUGUGCUUGAUCCCCAAGGAUUUGCAGAACAACCAGAUGUUGUCGCAGUCGAACUGCUUUCCAUUAUCGGACACUAGCUCUUGAGGGAUUCCGAAUUUGCAGAUUAUGUCUUUCCACAAAAAUCUUCUGACGAGGCACAUACCUGUACCUAUGCUACUGCUUCAACCCAUUUGGUGAAAUAAUCUGUAGCGACCAAUAGGAAUCUGACUGAUUGUGGAGCAUUUGGAAGCGGUCCCACAAUAUCCAAUCCCCACUUGGCGAUGGGCCAUGCACUCAGGAUGGGGUGUAGUUCGUUUGCCGGGGCAUGACCAACCGGGGCAUGCUUCUGACAUGGGAAGCAUGCCUGUGUGAACUUCUUCGCGUCUGUCAUCAUGUGCGACCACCAGUAUCCUUGGAUCAUUGUCUUCUGUGCUAGAUUUCUGCUCCCGGAAUGGUUGCCGCAGAUCCCAGCAUGGAUCUCUUUCAGUAUGACCAGGCCUUGCUCUGGAGUAAGGCACCUGAACAAGUCCCCGGAGCCAUGGCUCUUCAUGUAUAGCCUGUGCGAGUCUCGGUCCGGUAUGACAGUGAAUUUCCAUGCAUCCCUCUUGACUUUGGCUGUCAUCUUUGGAUUUUCAAGGAGCAAACGGUGGACAAGGAAGCUGAUGUAUGGCUUCCUACAGUCUUGGUUGUUGCUAGACUGCAACUCGGCGUCAAUUCUGUCUACUUCAGAAUUCAGAUUGUCUGGAAUGUCUUCAAUUGGUUCCUCCGGCGGGAGCUCCAAAUCGAUGUGGACAUGAGAGAGCGGUGGUUUUGACGGGUCUGGUUCAUCCGGCUCCGUUGAGGGUGGCAUUGCUUCUAUCCGACUUUUGGUGAGGCAAGGAUUCCAGUCUUCGAGUUGCGAUUCUGGUGGGUCCUGUGUCUGACCCUGUGAUGGUUGACUCGGCUCGCCCUGCUUGCUGGGCUCGUUGACGGACUGUGAAACUUCUUCAUUUCUUCUUCUUUUUUGUCCUCUGGUAGUCAUGAGAACUUCCUUCCAAUGUUUUCACUCCAAGAGAUAGACCUUCGGUAGCGGCAUGUCUGGAUCUUUGGGCCCGGUACUUAGAUCUUUCUGGUAUCCAAUUGAUAGCUGCAGGGGCUCUGUAGUGCUGAUUGAAGAAGAAAGAUACGCCAGGGCAUCUGCGUGCCUGACCUCUAUCCUUUGUCGUUGCUCGACCGUGAUGAAUUCAAACUUCCCUGCCAUGGAAUGGACGAUAUCAAGAUAUUUUGCCAUCCGGUCGUCCUUGGCCUAGAAGGAUCUGGCGAACUGGUUCGCCACUAGCUUUGAAUCUGUCUUGAUCAUGACCCUCCGCGCCCCCAGUUGGAGUGCUGUCCGGAGACCAUAUACAAGAGUUUCGUACUCAGCUUCGUUGUUCGAAGCUAGGAAUCCCAAUUUGACAGAUUUUUCUGUCUUCUGUCCAUCUGGUGAUCAAGAGACAACAUAUAUCGGACGCUGUACAGUUACUGGAUCCGUCAUUAUAGAUUGUCCAUGCUUCUCUGUCUCCUUCGGUCGGAGACUCCUGUGACCGGGGGGCAUCGUUCGCCCCCAGUGUAUCCUCCUCUAGUUCUGGAUUGACCGGGAUAUCCUCGAUGGGAAAGUCCGCCAUCAAGGAGGCUAUUACAUGUCCUUUCUCCGCGGUUCUAGGUUUAUACCAGAUGUGGUAUGUGCUGAGGUAGCUGAACCAUUCGAUUAGUCGAUUAGACUUUUCCUGCUUCCUAAGAGCUUUCCUGAGCGGGAACUCUGUAUAGACUUUGACCGCUCUUCCUUGGAAAUAAGGCUUUAGCCUCCUGGCUGCAUGUACCAAUGCCAGAGCUAUCUUUUCGAUUUUCGAAUAUCUUGUCUCAGCUCCCUGUAGUACUUUGCUGAUGAAGUAGACUGGUUUCUCCUCCGGUUCUUCCAUAAAUAUGACCGCACUGACUACUAUAUCGGAUGCAGCCAGAUAGAUGCCGACUGGUUGCCCGGUCUGUGGUGCUGUGAGGACCGAAGGCUGAGUGAGAUAUGUUUUGAUUUCAUCAAAGGCUUCCUGACAAGUAGGAUUCCAUUCCGCAUUAGUUUUGAUUGCGUUGAAGAAUGGCUUGCACCGGUCCGAGUACCGGGAGAUGAACCUGUUGAGAGCAGCUAACCUCCCAGUUAGCCUCUGGAAUUCUUUUACUGUCUUUGGGGCGGGCAUCUCCAGGACUGCCCGGAUUUGAUCUGGAUUGGCUUUUAUGCCCCGGUUGGUCAUGAGAAAGCCAAGGAACUUGCCGGAAGAAAGACCAAAAAAACAUUUGGCUGGAUUCAGCUUCAUGUUGUAUCGUGUCAGGAUGUCGAAUAUUUGCUGCAGAUCUCGCAAAUGAUUGUCUUUCUCCCUGGUUUUGACCACCAUGUCGUCUAUGUAGACUUCCAUGGUUCGGCCUAUGAUCUCGUUGAAGACGGUGUUGACCAGCUUCUGAUAUGUCGCUCCGGCAUUCUUCAGACCGAAUGGCAUCACCCGGUAGCAGUAAAGCCUCCGGUCGGUGAUGAAUGCGGUAUGUUCCUGAUCUUCUUCGUGAAGUGGAAUCUGGUUGUAACCGGAGUAGGCGUCUAUGAAAGACAAUCUUUGAUAGCUGACGGUGGCGUCUACCAUGUCCGUGAUCCUAGGGAGGGGAUAUGGGUGCACAAGACAUGCUUUGUUAAGAUUAGUAAAAUCGAUGCAAACUCGAAUCUUUCUAUUCUUCUUCUGGAUGACCACGAUGUUGGAAAUCCAGGUAGAGUUGAUGACUGGCUUGAUGAAGUUGACUGAGAGUAGCCGAUCGACUUCUUCAUUGACCACCAAUUUCCGAUCCGGUGCCAUUUGUCUUGGUUUCUGCUUGACCGAUUUGUACUGAGGAUCAAUGUCUAGCUUAUGGCAGGCGACCGCAGGGUCCAUUCCUGGCAUCUCGUUGACACUCCACGCGAAGACUUGGUGAUUCCGCCGGAGCAGAGUGAUCAUGGAAUCCUUCUCUGUCUCCGGUAGACCAGAAGAGAUGUAAGUUGUCUUGUGGGACACCGAUCCCACAAUAACUUCCUCCAGCUCGUCGACCGCUGGUAAUAUCUCGGCUUUUGUGUCUUGUUUCCCCUUAGCAGACUUGCUGGGAGCUGGUUGCUAUUGAUGAGAGUCUGUCAGGAAGAUGGUGUUCCCCUUGGUUUCGGAUAUGGACUUUCCUUUGACAGCAUCGAGAUGGCACUUGAAUGUCGUCCCUUGGUCUCCCUUGACUCUGCAGACUCCGUUGGGAGUCGGGAAUUUGAGGCUCUGGUGGAAGGUGGACACUAUGGCUUUCAUCUGAUGAAUCCAGUCCCUUCCCAGAAUAACGUUGUAGCAGGAGGGGGUGUCGACUAGCAGGAAGUCUAUCCCGACGGUGUUGAACCCCACCGUGAUUGGUAGGUGGACUCACCCGAAGGACUGUGCUGGCUCCCUGUUGAAUCAAUAGAUAGGAGUCUCAUCAGAUUCGAGGAGACCCUUAGAUAGCUCCAUAACUUUGUAGGGGCAUGAGAACAUAACAUUAGAGGUGCUGCUGGCGUCGACCAUGACUCGCCAGACCCGAUAGACUCCAAUCCAUACUGUGAUGACCAGGGCCUCAUUGUGCGGAUAAUGCACGCCCCUCUCGUCUUCAUCGGUGAAUGUCAAACCUCCGGGGACAAUGGACUCAGUGUUCGUCCCUUCGUUGAAGUUGAGUUGUCCAACUUCAUGGACAUGCCCUAUCCACUGGAGCUUUUCCCGAGCACAAUUCUUCCUUUCUGUCUUACAAGAACCGGGUGUCUGUACAUGGCAGAAAUAUUCAAUUCGAUCUCCAGUUUUUACCUGUUCGACUGCUCCGGUCUGUACCAUGUCAGGGAUGAGGCCGGCGUCGACCAGGCGCUGCAUUUCAUACUUCAAUGACACGUAGUUCUUCAGCUCGUGACCGUAGUCGUUGUGAUGAUCACACUUCUUGGACUUAUCUCUUCUGCCCUCCGGGUCUGCCGGAAGGGGGGCAGGUUUGUUGAGCAGCCAUCUGUUCUUGAUCUUUUUGAAUACUUCCUCGAGAGGGAAUCUCAAGGGAGUGAAUUCCCUUUCCUUGCGUUCGCCCCAGGUAAGCUUCUCUGACCGGCGGUCGGGUUGCCUGGCCGGCACUUUCCCCUUCUUGUCCGUGUUCCUGUCAGGGGAUUUUACUUCGUUGCGAUCUCUGUCGGAGCUUUCUUCCUUUGCCUUCUGCGGCUUCUCGGAGGUUUGGCCUCCGGUAAGUCUCUUUCUUCUGGCUUUCAGGUCGUCCUCCUCCUGAGUAUACCUUUCCACUUUCUCGAACAAGGCUGAAACAGAGGAGGGUGGCUUCCUCGCCAGUGACCGAUACAAUUCCUCAGGGUUGCUAUUCAAGGCAUAUUUGAAAGCUUGAAUAACGACGCUUUCAGAUGCGUCCUGUACCUCAGAUAGUAGGGUUCGGAACCUCCGGGCGAAAUUCCUGAGUGUUUCGUUCCGGUCCAUCUGUAAAGAGAACAUGACUUCAGCUCCUUUAUUGGUCUUCACAUUGAACCGGUACUUCUCUUCGAACAACUCAUCCAGUUGUACGAAUGUGCGGACGGAUGCGGGUGGGAGAUUGUGAUACCACGUUUGUGCUUCGACUUUGAGUGAAGCAACAAACAUUUUCGCUAGUAGCUUAUCAUCAUGGUCCCAGAUGGCCAUGGUGCUUUUGUAGUUCAUAACAUGCUGAACCGGACAACCGUCACUACACCAAAACAAGGUUUUAGUAAGUAUUUUUAGAUUUCUAACAUCAUUUUGCUGUUAGAAGUGUAAUAACAUUUUUUUGCCGUUAGUAAAGGCCAAUUUCUGUUAGUAAUAAAUUAAUAUUAUUUUGAAUUAUUUAGUAACACUACUAGAAAAUAAUACUAACGGCCUUGUGUUAUGUAAAGACCCAAGUCCACGCUAGGGAUAUUUUAGUCACUUUACUAGUAAAACAUUGAUAUUAUCAAUUCCCGCGCACCUUACUUUGGUAAUAUUUUGAAAUUGACGUACAGUAAACAAUAUUAGUAAUACGAUAAUAAUAAUAAUAUUUUAAGGGCUGGACGGGUGCGGCAAUUGAGUUUAGAUAGGCAUACAUCAGGUUAUGUAAAGUUCUUACACAUGGGGCAAUUUAUUAAGUUACCCCUCAUCACUUAGGAGCUGGGCUUCCUUACUUUAAACUAUAGAGUUACACCUAAGCUUGAAUUAAGAAGGAGCUGUCUCAAUUUCCCACUUCCUUAUCUCAUUUUAUCCUAAGUUAGAAAACACUAGUCUGAACACAAGGAAAACAAAGAACCAUACUUCAUUUAAUUUUUACUUCGGUUCAAAGAUAUCACAAAUGAAAAGAAUUUCAUACUAAAUUGGGUUCCUAUUGAAAGUUGGGCAGAUCAGAUUAUCUAGAUUAGACGUGUAUUAUUUGAUAAGAAGCUAGAAAAUAGCUUGAGGUUUAGAAGCUUGGCUAGGGAAUUGAUUGGUGGUGGCUGUUAUAGGAUGUUGGCCGACAAAAGAUUAGAAACGAACUCAACAAUCAGUUUGAUUGCUUGUAAGUAUUUCUUGACUCUGAUUUUUUUAUUUCACAAAUAAAAACACAAUUAAUUAAGAUACUACUUUAUCAAUUUACAGAUCAUUAACAUUAAACCCUUUGUAAAAGACUUUGGGUGUGAAUUGGGUAUUUAGAAGAUGAGUAACUUAUCAUGAUUUAAGGACUUGAUCAGGUUCUUUUGUUCUAUUUGCUUGACGACCAGACCUGAGUUUAGUGUAUUAGUUAAGAACUGAUUUUGUUUUAGCAUUUCAUUAGCUUUAGUAAGUGCUAGCUAUACGCCGAUAACUGUAGCUUUAGUAGAAAACCCAAUAUUACACGAAACUAACAAUCGAUUGUGAUACUUUAGAUAAUUAAUUAGAUAGUAUCAAAUUAUUCAAUCUUUAGAUUUUGGGCUUAUGCUUGUGCUUAUAUUUUAGGAUAGCGACGUAGUUCCUUUUACCGGGCUUUGAUAGUGGUAGCAGGAGCGAGCUGAGGUAGGGACUUACAGAACCUUUAUAUUUCUUUUCAUGCUCAUAUUUUAUAAAUGAAUGGAGAUAGUCGUUAUUGAAAUUCAUGCAUGGUUUUGGUUGAAUAUUAUUGCUAACAGGAAUUGCUAUUCGGUUCAUUUCUUAUUAUUAAGUCGAUGAUUGCGAUUGGAUUCCUCGAAAAAAUUUGAUUAUUGGAUUAAUUUAGUUUAUUUAUAUUUUAUAGAAAAGUAGUGUUUUAAAAAGGAAUUUCUCGAUAAAUCUUUUUCCAAUGGGCAAAAGAUUUGGUUUUGUAAUGCGAGGCAAGGAAACCUGAUUGUAAUGUAUAACUGGGAUAUGUGAGGUCCCUAGAUUGGUGGAAAUAUGGAUCUGCUAUGCUGUCACGAUUAUGGCUAUGACCCGGUUACGGUAGCCAACUGUAUGGAUCAUAUUUGAUUAUGGUUGUGGCCCGGUUAGGGUAGCCAUGGAUAUUGUUUAAAUCUGGGGACUCACCACACACAUAUAUAUAUAUAUAUAUAUAUAAAGAAAGUAACUAAUAUAUUAUAUAUAUUUAUAUAAUGAGGUAGUUUGGAGAGGGACCUGUGAAUUCCUAUAAAGAAUGAGUUGUUGUCAUAUUCCGGAGACAACAGUUCAUUCUAGGAUGACAUCUAUGGUGUUCACCUUUAGAAGGUGAAUGGGCCGCCUUCUAGAGAGAUACAUUAGAGAUGUAUCCGGGAAUUCCUUUUCACCAUUCCAGACCACCAUUCAUGUAGUGGUACGUUGUUGAUAUAUUAGUUCAGAUGAGGCUACAUGUAACCUCGAUGAGGUUUAGACGCGAGGGGUGAGAGUUAGUCCACUCCUGGACGUGUGUCAGGAUCCUGUGCAGUCUGCAGUCGUCGAACGGUUGACCACCGUAAGUCAGGGAUUCCUCGUAUCAGGAAUCGUGGUCAAAGGCCCACCUGAGCCUAAAUAGACGGGUUUAGUGUUCUGGGAACACAGUAACGGUAAUACAGUCACCCCACCGGAAAUCAGGAAAUAACGAUGUAGGUUCACACUGGUAAGUACUGAACCAAGAGAUUGCCUGCGACCGGGGCGGUAUAGCGUCGUACCUCAUCAUUCUAGUAGGAUGCAGCUACCCGAAACUAUUGUAUGAUGGUUUGCUUAUAUAUAGUAUACUUGUGAUGCUAUUAUAUUGUAAUGUUUUACAUUUCCGUUUUUAUUAUUCGCCUUUUAUUUAUUUAAAAUCUUGCAUUAUUUACAACUGUUUAUUAUGGAUUAAUCGUCAUGAUUAGAUUUAUAUUGGAACUGUAAGUCACUACUGAGCAAGUGGAUUAUGCUCACCCUACCAUUACCCUUUUCAGACGAUUCUACAAUUGAGGAGCCUGAUGUAGAGGUACUCGAUGACGGGGAUGAUGACUACUUUUGUCUUAUGUGAGAGAGUGGGCAAGGGUUGAAAUAAUCUUUUGUUAGUCACUUUAUAUGAGAUAUAUGUAUAUAUACCUAUUACGAAAACAGUCUUGUAUAUAUACUACAGAAUCAUGUAAGUUUGAGUUAUUAUUUAUAUAUAUAAAAAGUUUGUUUUUUUGUACUUGCGAUUUUGUCGUAAAUGGAGAAAAUGAAUUCAACACCUGACUCCCAAGGUUUUAUUAUUAAUAGGUUAGAAAUGAUAAAUUUUGUCCUUAGUGUUGAUUUAAUGCCUCGAGAUGCGUUUUAGAGUUAUUGAGAUAUGAGUUGUAUUUUGGGGUGUUACAUGUUGUUAGAAGUUAAUAAAAAAAAACCAAAAUUUGUGACAUGUGCUUAUCCCAUGAGGAAAGCCAAGGCGUUAACAAGAGAAACCACCCAUUUCCUCGACUCUCUCUUCCUCCUCACCACAAUCUCAACCUUUCUCACUUCCUCGAUCUGAUUUGAGCCCUGAGUUUGAAAUUCUUUCUCUCACCCUUUAUCAUCUUCUUCCUACUCUUCUGUCGCGAUUACUUGGAUGCUUCCUACCACUUGGUCUCUGUUUCUCUCAAUUAUCUAUAUAAACCCUAGUUUGGAUUUCGAUUUUGACUAGUCAAUAGAAUCUGUUUAUUUGGAACAAGCUGGCGUGUUUUCUCGGUUUCUCUCGGCUGUUAGGGGUUGCAACCUUGGUUGAAAGGUUAGAUAAUCUGAAUUCCAUCUAUUCAAGGCUUUGAUUUCUCUACAAUUUGAUUCUGUUAAAACUAAAAUUUUACAAAAAAGAAGAAAACGAGAAUUUUUAUUGUUAUUCAUAUAACAGUGUUAGGAAUUAGAAUGAAAUUGGGUAAUCCAAGAUUGAAAAUGGUUUACGACUAGUUUGCUUAUUAAUAACUUUCACUUUAUCGAAGGGAAAGAUUACAUAGUGGAGUCAGGUUGUGAAAAAUUAAUCACAAUCCUGACUUUUCGUAAUGAAAUUGAAAAAGCCAUGUAAUGCUACAUUGUAAGAACAAGGACCCAGUCACACAUCAGGUCCUGAUCGGCACCUAUGGUCUCCGUUUCAUGCGUAGACCCAAAUCCAGUUUCAUGUGAGACUUUAACGUCUACCUACUGCACCGCCCCCGGCUCCCAAACCACUCUCCCACAGUUUUAGCCAUUCAAUUAGUUUCAAAAUAUUUUUUUAGGUUAGUAGGAAGGAGAGAUUUGCUAAAAUCUAAAACAAUUCGUAUGGUUAUUUGUUUGAUUUGCUAUUUAAAAUUGAAAGAUUGAUACCAUAUUCUAAGAAAAAUUGGGUCUAAGGAUUGAGAGACAGAGGAUAACGAUAACAAAAAAUAAAUUGAUGUGUUAUUAGGUUUAUGUUUGAAGAAGACAACAUAAUAUUCCACCACCCCUUAAAAGUACAUGUCAAAGUUACAGUAGGAUUGUUGUUACAAAGCAUUAUUUAUUUUUGAUAAAAGUAGUAUAUGUAUUACUAAAGAAAAAUAAGGCUUACAAUAUCUGAUCUGAAUGCAAGGACUGCAUCAUCAGAUUACACCCCCAAAAGACAUUUCCUUGUUAUAUACAGAGUCCCAUUCCCAACCCCACCUUUACAUACCAUGUGUACACAUACAAGCAAAGCUGCAAAUAAAAAGAAAGCCCAGGAAACACUCUAACCAAACCUGCAGAAUGCAUGUACUGCUGCUGCUUGUGGCGCCAGGUAACUCUCUUGCUCCCUAUGUACUGUCGCUGCUGAUAGACCCAACAGAUAUACAACCAUAGUCUUUCAGACCUCCCCUUCAGCAAACUUCUAGGCCUUGUCUAUGUUGUAGUUUGUUGGACCAUUUUAUUCUCACAUAAUAAUUUGUUUCUGGAUAUGACACUUCAUCUAGGUUUACUUUGACAACAUAAGAAACUUCAAAGUAAAAUUUCGUGAGUUCUUCGAGAAUGGAUUCAUCUCUGAGAUUGAAGUUUGGAUUAGGUCCUUGUGGAAAGUUGCGAUUGAAGAUAUCCUGACAUUGGAGAGCUCCAGGUAGCCAGCUUUUAUUAAGUAAUUUGCAUUAAUUAAGUACUUUAGUUUUUUCACUUUUUCUACGAUAUUCCUUGGGCUUUAACUGUUGGCAACAGUAUGUCUUUAACUGUUGGCAUUUUUGGAUAUGUUUUCAGUUAUUGAUUUGUGGUGGAUUCAUACUUCCUAGUUGUUAUAUGUGGGUAUGUUACUGUGAGAAAUUUUGUCUUUUUGUUUUAUUUGCGUAGACCUAAUAUGCUAAUGCACAUACUGGUCAGAUCAUUCUCACUGUCAGCCAUGUGGCCGCCUCCAUGAAUCUAAUGGCAUCACCAAGGCUUAUGGGACAAGCGUACUAUAUAGAGGUAUGUGUUUUAUAAAGAUAUUACAUGAAACUUGUACUUGAAUUGUAUUUUUUCACUCAAAUUGGGAGAUUGUCAAACAUUGCAUGUGGCGUGUCAGAUACAAAUCCUUAUUAACUGUAUAUUUGUCGUUUCCAGUGUGAUCCCAUUGUCGAGGUCAUGUAACCGCUGAUGUUGCUGAAGCGGGUACCCCAUCUUAUAUUAGUAAGGUUAGGGACAAAAUUAAACUGCACACGCUCUUUAUUAUUAGAUGAAUUCUUGUAAUUAUAUACCUAUAGCACGACAUUAAGUUUUUUUGACGUGCAAUUUUCUCAAUUUUGAAUUGAGUCUCCAGUUUUUUUUCGUACAAUUUUCUCAAUGUUGAAUUGAGUCACCAGAUUGUGUAAUCCAUUUUUUGGAACUAUUCAGUUAUAUGAAACCUAGGCAAGAGUUGAAAUAUUUUUAAGUCAAAAACAAAAGUUGCAAUUAUGGGUGUUGCUAACAAGGAAGGUAUAAUGAACUUAUCUGCCACAUAGUUUUCAAUCUUAAUCUAGUUUAUUAUUGAAUACGGUGGAUUAAUAGGUCGUUUAAGGAUCUUUGUUUUUUUUUUUAAUUAGUAUUAUGUUUCCUCUAUAAUAUUUAUUGUUUUAUAUUGUAGGUCAUAGAGAACAAGCCAUAUGAUCACGACAAGGAUGUCUUUAAUUAGUUUCAGAAUGUCUUAUGGGUGCUGAUGAUUGGGAAGGUAAAUCUUUUGGGAUUCAUUUUGGACAUGAACUGAUUGGAUAUAUUCUUGAUUCGGCAAUGCCUGAAUUUAUUAUGUAAUUAACUAUAUGAUUAAUGCAGGUUGUCGCUUAAAUAUUGGCUCAUCGGCUCAUUUGCCUACCUAUACGUCAACAUACCACUAUUUCGCGAGGGCAUGAGGCGAAGGUCAUGAGUGUCUUCACUAGCCAAUGAGAUGCUAUUAGUAGUCAGUAUUUUUUAAAUAAUCAUACAUUUUAUUGGGGUUUGUUAUAAAGAAAGUUGGAUUGUGGUUUGUGGAGACAAAUAAAUGCCUUUGUUUUUUGGCUGAAAUUUUUAAAUAUACAAGAUUUUUUUAUAUUAAUUGCAAAUGAUUUGCAUGUUCUGAUGUAAUGGGAUUAUUUGUUUCAUGUACAGUAUAUGGAAAUGUUUGGGAGCAUAUAUUUGAAUAGGCUAUACUGCAAAAGAAUAAUAGGCUAAUAAUUUGGAUUUUUUUUUUAAUAUGAAUUUCCAAAUUAGUAACAGUAUAGUGUCGUUAGUAAAUUUAUAAGAGUUAAAGAUUUGUAACAGAAGCUACUAGUGGUCGUUAGAAAGUACUAACGGUAUUUUGCUGUUAGAAAAUUAUAUAUACUAACGGUACAAUACCGUUACAACAAGACCUGUUAGUAAAUACUAACGCCAAUUUGCUAACGCAUAAAAACCGUUAGUAAAAAAUUUACUAACAGCAUUUUGCUGUUAGAAAACACAAGUUCUGGUGUUGUGCGUUUGUCUCGUCAUAUUGUUCGAAGGGCGGUUGCUUGAAGCUGGCCGGGACCAUAUGACUCCUGACCUAUUCUGCUAAAGGUGAUAUGGCUAACCUUGAAAGAUUAAGCUUUCCGACUCGCUCAUCCCGGUUGGCUUUGUUGGAUACAGUAAGAUCGAUCAUCUCUUGCAGCUUGAGUUGAUUCAUUUGUUCCACAUUCAGCUCCGGUUGUCUCUGAUGAAUGUGGACCCUUUGAGGGCUCUUUGUUCUCUAACCGUGGCGUGCCGGGGGAGUACUCUGGUGCCUCCUCCGGCGCAGUCUCCCUGGAGGAGUGGCUUCUUCGACAGAUCUGCUGCAGGCAAUCCUGCGGCUAUCACGCGGCCCGGGUGUUCUUGCGCGUCCGCGACGAUGUCUCUGAACUGGAGAGAUAGACAUCCUAUCUCUCCCUGGUGCUAGCCUGUCCCAGACAGGACGGGGACCAUGGCUAUGAGGGGUAAGACUCCGGUCACUGCUUGACCGUGGCCUUAUCUUCUUCUGAGGAGAUGAACUCGAAGACGGGGCUGAGGAUGGCUGGCUAUCUCCGGCUCUGGUUCUCUUCUUUCUCCUUAGUUCUGCGUUUUCCCUGGUCAGCCGCUUGAUGAUUGCAGUUGGGGAUUCGACCGCUGGUCCUUUCCCUUCUGCUGCUCGGUAUAAACACCUCCCGUUGUAGCGGCUGCCCUGGAAGGUUCAGGAUCUUGUGAAGCUGGUAUCCUGACGGUCCGGUUGACCGCAUUAGGAUCACCAGGAUUGUUACUGAUUUGCACCACUAAGUUCUCUGCCUCCGGUUGUCCACUUUCAGAGUGUUUCGAGCCCUAAUCAUGGCCCUCACUCUCGAGAACUGAUUCUUGAUUCACCUGUUUUGUUGCUUCAAGAACCGGAGACAGAGGAGAAAGGUUCUCUGUCUGACUUUCAGUAACUUGACUCAUUCCAUUGUUGGAACGAGUUGGGUGUCUCUUACUUCCAGCCAUUGCUGCAGCAACUCCGGUAUGACUGGAAUGAGAUUCCUUGCAAGACUCUGGAACUGAUGGGAUAUUCAACCCCACGGUGGGCGCCAAAGAGUGUGGGUGCAAAAAUUUGAUCCACAAACUUGAGAUAUGUAUAUAUUAAUCAUACAGUUACAAUGAAAGCCUUGUAUAGACAUAGAUAGGAUGGGGGGUAUACAGUGAGACUGGACCUGAUCGGGAUCAGGCUGCCUACGUAUCCAAGAUGAUGAACUUGUAAUCAAGUCUCUGCUUCCACUAAGCUCUAUUGGAGUUGCUCAGUGAAAGACUCGUAGUUCAGGAGAUUUAGAACUCCUAUAUUUGUAGUAGGCCGGAGGAGGCUGGCUCAACCGCCCCUCCGGUUUUGACUCCACGAACUCAGGUUGUUCAACUGUGAAGAUGCUUUCUGUGGAGAUAGCUUGCAUGCUGCCGAGCGGUUAUCUCCUUGGUUUGAAUCCACAUUGACCAGGAUGCAUCCUCUGAUAGGUUCUGGUUCAACCUGGGUUUCCUUUAUCUUUUCCAGGGGGCUAGAACCAUGGGUUUUGUUGGCCUGGAAUCUCGCUGAACUUAUCCAGUUGGUUGGGACUUGGAUUGACCAAGCCUGAAAGCAAAGACUUGGGCUUGCUUCCUCUGACCGGAGGCCCAAUCUACACUGCAUACUCCCUGGCCAGGUCCUAUGGACUUCUGUGCUAAGCCUUUGGAUGAGCCCCUGUCGCUGCUGGACCUUACUGGGUCGAACCUGGCCUACUCUCUGUUAUGGUUGUUUGCUUAAAUAAUUAUUACAGUUACAAAUUUAAAAUUAUUUUAAUUUUUGAAAUUUUUAAUAACUAUUGCAUGAUUUUUGGGAUUUUAUUUGACACCCUUACUGGAACUUAUAUUCGCGAGACUAAAUUUAUACAUUAUCACGGAAUUUUCAAAAUUAAAUUUGAAUUAUUUCGUGCCCUACACGCUUUCCAGGGGUACAACCGUCAUUUCCACUAAUUUCAGUAGUGGAGGAAGCGUCUAGGGAAAGUCACUUCUCUAUAUAUACCCUCGGGUGUCUUCAGAAAAGUCACAAGUCACCUUAAAAUCCAAAGUCAAACCAAGUCAAAACCGGGUCAAUAGAAGUCUUCUUCCCUUCCAGAACUCGAGUCGAGUUCCUUAGUGUGCAUUGCAAAAGACGAAGGCCAGGGGCAACCGCAUCGACGGCGGGGUUGAUUUUAUUUUUGUUUAUUAACCAUUGGCUUUAUGUAUUUUGAUUUUGUUUUGUUUUAGUUAUUACACUCUUGUAUUAAAUUUUCAAUUAUUGUACUUAUUUCCAAAUAUAAAUGAAAAUGAUAGAAUUUUUAAUUUUUUGCAAACUUGUCCUUUUCUGAAAAUUCUUAGCCAUUCUUGGGCUUCAUUGCAAAUGUUUUGACUUGUGGAGUUAUUUUGAUAAUUCUGGUCCUAGGGACCUAAGUCCAAAUAUUUUAAAAAGAAAAGAGGUUAGGGUUUGAUUUUUGGAAACCCUAAGGUUUUAGGCAAUACUUGGAGUCCUAUUAGGGCUCAAACUUAUUUUUGGCCUAUAUAUACCAAACCAAGGUUGGAGGAUCGUCACUCAAAAAUCAGAAAAACCUUACAAAACUUUUUUAUUUUCUGAGUUUGGCCCGAACUCGAGCCGAGUUCCUUAUAGGCCAUUUCGAUCUCGAGUUUUCACGCUGGUUUUUGGUGUUUUCUCCAUUCUUUUGUAAUGGCUAAUGAUCAGAAUGAUUUGUGGAUGCCCGAUGGCAUGGAUAUCAUCCCUGAGAUGGAUUUUUCGGGAAUUAUGGAUAGUCCUUAUGGAGCUUAUUUUCGGGAUGGGAUUUUCGACAAAGGUUGGGAAGGUUUUCUUUAUGAUUCUACUGCUGUGUAUUCCCCUUCUAUGGUAAGAGAUUUUUACCGUACGUUGCCCUUUGGGGUAGCUAUUCCUUUUGAUGGUUUCAAGGUUGUUAUGCAUGAGUUUCAUGUCAGGUUUAAUUCUUUUGCCAUCACCCGAGCCUUGGAUAUUCCUCUUCAAUUGAGACCUAUCUUGCCACAUCCUGAUUAUCUCCUUUCCAAUCAAGUUGAUGUUCUGGAUAAUUACCUAGAUCACUUUGGACCUUGCACUUUUUCCUUCUAUCCUGAAAAUUAUGCUAAUGUUGCACCUACUACUUGCCUUCCUGCUAAUGUGGCUACUGUCGCUUUAUGGGUGAUGCGGAAUCUUUUAGGUGCAGAUAGAUUGGAGUAUGUCAAUGAUGCUACUAUGCACGUUGUCUAUGGUAUUGUUAAUGACUUUCGUUCUUUUGACAUAUUUUCAUGGAUUGUGGAUAGUAUUCAGAAUGUUUUCCAAACUGGUCAGCUAAUUCUCCCUACUGCUAUAUGCAAGAUCAUCCUUCGUACCUAUCCUGAUUGGAGGAACAGGUACAAUGAUUGGACUCAACUUAUCCCUAUGGAUCCUACGCAUCGUUUUAUCAGGAGGAGUCGCCUAUUCACUUGGGUGCCUAAAACUGAUUAUGCAGAGUAUCCAGAUUUGCAUAGAAAUGAUAAUUUUAUAGAUAAUGGUGAGGGGCCUGGGAAUGUGAUUAAAGAGGAAUUAACUCUUUGGCGCGAUAGGUUGGAUGGUUUGCAAAUAGAAGUUGUUAGAAACCAAGAGUGUAAAGUAGAAUUUCCUUAUCUGUUGAGUCAGUCAUUUAAUUCAGUUGUGUCUUAGAAUGGAAUUCCUUGUAAUCUCUAUGUAUGUGGAGAUAAUUUUGUUUGGCCGGAAUUUAUAAAGCGGUUUGAAUUUUUAGUACAUUCAUGGUAAUAUCUUUCUUACUCUCUCUCCUAUGCAUAGUAUGAGCCUUGAGGACAAAGCAAUCUUUUUGUUUGGGGGUGGGGAAGUAUUACAAUCCUUUUGCAAAUGAUUUUCAAACUUCUUUAUCCAUACUUGUGUAAAAAUUCAAAAUUUUUGAAAGAUCGAAAAAAAUCUUUGUUACAAAGACUUUUUCAGAAAUAGGAUAAGUACACCAUCAAUGAUGAAUAUAAUGGUUGAAUUCUUAUACUACAUUUGCAUGGGCAUAAGCAUGGCAUUCAUCUGCAUUUAUUACAUAUUACAUGUGCAAAUACAACUACACCUUGAAAAAGUUGAGGAAUAAGUAUGGAGACUUAACCUAGUUAGCUUUUGAGCCCCGUCCUUUUCUUGGAGAGUUAUUAGAUUAAUCUGGAGUCAAAAGACUCAACCUCUCAGUUUUGUCUGUUUUUAGUCUCAUAUUCAUUUUUAUAGUUAGCCUUGAGAUGACAUCAAGUGGGUGUAAUAUAAACUUGGGUCUUGUAGCUUAAUCAAGAUGCGAUCACCAUAUCAGUACUUAGAGAUGAUACAAAGACUUUUAGAUAAACCUUGUUUAUCUUAGCCUACCCUGAUGAUAUUUAUCCCAUAGGUUGACCAUUCUGAGCUUUUCCUGUUACUUAGCCUUUUUCUUGAGUCCAUUAUCCUUACCCAUUGUUUUUGGAAUAUGAGGAUGAUCGUUUAUGUGGUUACAAGAAGAAAGGAGAAAUACAUAGAAAAUCUCCAAACUAGUGAGAUGAACCAAAUAUUGAAAACCAAAAGGUUUAAAGAAAUUUCAGAAAAAAGGCAGAAUCUUCCAAACCAUUUCAAAUCCAAAAAGAAAGGAAGAUUCCCAAAUAUUGACUAGAGCUUCAUUAAAAUUUUCCAAAAGAAGAUGAGAAACACUUCUUCCCAAAAGAAAAAUUCCAAAAAUUUCUCCAUGUGAUGUUAUUACAAAUCACAAGUGUUGAAGACCCGAAUCUUCCAAAAAUAUUUCACAAAAGCCUUUUCCAUUUCUAGCCCUGUCCUAAGCCAAGUUACAACCCAUUACUGUCUUUUGUAGAUCUAAGCUAAUAUGGUAGGAUGUGGCGAGUAAGUGAGAAGGUGCUGAGGUGAAAAACCCGACAUCUCAAGUAAGUAAUUUUUCCAUUCUUUGAGACUAAGUUCAUUCUAUUGCACCAGUCCGUCUUAUUGAUAUAUGUGAGAUGAUUGUCCAUCUUCCUUCCUCAAAUAGAGGUAAAAUGAUAAACACCAUCUUUGAGUGACAUUUAUUUCUGAGUGUAUGACUGUGAGGCAGAAGUCAAGGCGACCUUUCCAUUGGUAACUUAAGACCCGUGGUAGCAUGGGUACAUGCCUGUCUUCAAUGCAUUUGAAACCAUUAUGCUUGGUUUAUAUUUCAUAUCUUAUUCAUGCAUUUGUAGUAUGCUAUCUCAUAUGAACGGUUUUGCAAUACUUAUCCUUAUCCUUGAUAUAACCAUUUCUGAGUUAAAUGGUAGAAACUCCAAUUCUUGGAUUAGUCAUUGUAGUAAGUUUGUGGGUAUCUUCUCUGGAAAAUCCUCAGGAGACUAUAACUCCUCCACCUGGGAAAUCUUUGUGGUUAAAAGCCUUGAUGCAUAUGGUUAAUGCAAUCACCUUAGUUUCACUUCUCUUUUAAGUCCUUAAUUCUUUCUUCUCAUCUUUGCAUGAGGACAAACAAAGUGUUGUUUGGGGGUAUUUGAUCAGUCCUCAAAAGUGUAUAUUUAUCUCCCGAAUAACACCUUGUUUGUAUAACACUUAGCUUAUAUUAUUGUGUUAUAUCUAUUGAUUAGUGUUUUCUUGUCUAUUGUGUAGGUUUUAUGAGCCGAAAUGCGAAUAUUGUGUAAAAGCCCGCGAAAAGUCAAGAAAAGCAAGCAAAAAUGUGUUAUUUGCACCUGGGAAGGAGAAUCAAUAUUCGCAUCCACAAGAUCUGCUGAGGGCACCCCACGGUCAGCUCUGUUGAAUUGACUUUAGGUCAAAGUGGGGCGGUCCAAUUCUCAGCCCAAACUGGUUCCUAUUGGAGCCCACAAGUCAAAAUUUCUAUUUUAGGCCUUAUUUAACUCCAAACUUAAAAAUGCUCUACAAGGAGAUCCAGAAGUCUGAUUUGGGCGCAUGAGCUAUCAAACUGAAGGUCUUGGUCCCAACUACAACUUAAGGCUAAGAGAAUUAGGUUUUGCUAAAAAACCUAAUGCCUCUAGAAGACCAACAGCAGCAGCCACGAAUUUGACCUAGUUUGGAAGUCUUUGCAUGCAAGUAUUCUACUUUGUAUUUUCUAUAUAAGAGAAGUAGUAGCUAAGGUUUAGGUAGCUUUUUAUAAAUUGAAGGUUGAAGAGAUAAGUUCAUCUUCUUCUUAUUUUGUAUCAAACGUAAUAGUCAAUAUCAAUUCCAUUAUCUUUUUCAUUAUGAUGUCUUGUGAUUUAUUUAUUUAUUUAUUUCAAGGUGUCAUCAUCAAGGAUGAGUAGCAAAAUCUCCUUAGGGGGAUGGUGGAAGCUCUCUAGAUGAUGCAAAAGCACCAUGUUUGUUCUUAUUGUUCAUUGUGAUUCGAAAUACUUAAUGCUUAUUUACUUCUAAUUCGCGAUAUGAGGUAAGUAUGAUUAUUUGCAUGUUAUUGUUAUCCAUGAUGUUAAAAUAUUAUUGUUAGGGUUUAGGGAGACCUAGCUUUAAUAAUACGGUUUAUAUUUAUUGUAGAUGUGUAGUGAAAUAGCUGAGAGGUGAUUAUUACAUAUUUGCAAUAUAUAUAUUUUAUUGGAACCCUUUUGUAUUUAAAUUGAUAUCCGAGAGGUGACGGUUUAUUUAUGAAUUAAUAUAUUGAAUUAAUUAGAUUGAAUAGCUGAGAGGUGACGGUUUAAUUAAUAAGACAUAUUCAAUAACAUGCAUAAAAGAAUCCCGUUUUCAUUAAGUAGAAUAGCUGAGAGGUGACUACUUAAUUAUUAUAGGUAUUAAUGAUUAGAUGGAAUAAGCGAGAGGUGACUAAUUGAUUGUUAUAGAUUGAACAUGAAGGAACAACAUGUUAUGUUUGCAUGAUUUAGGUAGUGGAUACCAAUUCUCCCCUUUUGUCAUCAUAUAUCUUCUUUUCAUCUCUACCAUAUUCUUAAGUUAGGGUUUACUAUUUAUUAUUGCCUGUAGGAAGUAGAAUCAAUCUCCAAUCUUAUUAUUGAUUCCCUUGGUAUUCUUUAACCAUUGUUUUCUAUUGUGUUUGAGCUAAGAUCCCCCCCUCUGAGGUGGGUAUGACCCUUGCUUGUUACUUGUCUACUUUGAUAUCCAAUUUAUACAGGCACAAGAAGGAAAUUCGAUACAAAAUCUAUAUUUUGAUAGGUGGAGACAUAAAUUUCCAUCUAUCAAUAGUUAGCCUUGAGAUGACAUCAAGUGGGUGUAAUAUAAACUUGGGUCUUGUAGCUUAUUCAAGAUGUGAUCACCAUAUCAGUACUUAGAAGUGAUACAAAGACAUUUAGUUAAUUCCUGUUUACCUUAGCCUACCCUGAUGAUAUUGUAUCAUUUAUGUUAACCAUUCUGAGCCUUUCUUGUUACUUAGCCCUUUUCUUGAGCCCAUUAUCCUUACCCAACUCCAUUGUGGGAAUAAUUACCCGUAGAAUGUUUAUGUCCUUUUUACCCAUUUUUUUUUGGAACAUGAGGAUGAUUGUUUAUGUGGUUGCACGAAAAAAGGAGAAAUAUAAAGAAACCUCCAAACUAGUGAGAUGUACCAAAUAUUGAAAACCAAAAAGUUUGAAGAAAUUCCCCAAAAAAACCAGAAUCUUCCAAAACCAUUUCAAAAUAUUGGCUCGAGCUUCUUUGAAAUUUUCCCAAACGAAGAUGAGAAACAUUUCUUCCCAAAAGAAAAAUUCCAAAAUUUCUCCAUGUGUUGUUAUUACAAAUCACAAGUAUUGAAGGCCCGAAUGUUCCAAAAAUACUUCACAAAAGCCUUCUCCAAUUCUAGCCCUAUCCUAAGCUAAGUUACAACCCAUUACUGUCUUUUGUAAUUCUAAGCUGAUAUGGUAGGAUGUGGCGAGUAAGUGAGAAGGUGCUAAGGUGAAAAACCCGACAUCUCAAGCAAGGCAAAUUUUUCCAUUCCUUGAGACUAAGUUCAUUCCAUUCCACCAGUCCGUUCUUAUUAAUAUAUGUGAGAUGAUUGUCCGUCUUCCUUCCUCACAUAGAGGUAAAUGAUAAACACCAUCUCUGAGUGAUUUUUAUUUCUAAAUGUAUGUCUGUGAGGCAGAAGUCAAAGCGACCUUUCCAAAGUUGACUUAUGACCCGUGGUAGUAUGGGUACAUGCAUGUCUUCAAUGCAUUUCAGACCGUUAUGCUUGGUUUAUAUUUCAUAUCUUAUUCUUGCAUUUGUAAUAUGCCAUCUCAUAUGAACAGUUUUGCAAUACCUAUCCUUAUCCUUGAUAUGACCAUUUCUGAGGUAAAUGGUGGAAAAUCCUCUUCUUUGGAUUAGUCGUGGUAGUAAGUUUGUGGGUAUCUUCUCUGAAAAACCCUCAGGAGACUAUAACUCCUCCACUUGGAAAAUCCUCGUGGUUGAAAGCCUUGAUGCAUAUGGUCAAUGCAAUCACCUUAGUUUUACUUCUCUUUUGAGUCCUUAAUUCUUUUCUUCUCACCUUUGCUUGAGGACAAGCAAAGUGUUGUUUGGGGGUAUUUGAUAAGUCCUCAAAAGUGUAUAUUUAUCCCCCGAAUAACACCUUAUUUGUCUAGCACAUAGCUUAUAUUAUUGUGUUAAAUCUAUUGAUUAGUACUUUCUUGUCUUUUGUGUAGGUUUCAUGAGCCGAAAUGCGAAUAUUGUGUUAAAGCCCGCGAAAAGUAAACAAAAGCAACCAAAAAUGUGUUAUUUGCACUAAGGGAGGAGAAUUAAUAUUUGCACCCACAGAUCCGCUGAGGGAACCCCACGGUUAGUCCUGUUGACUUGACUUUAUGUCAAAGUGGGGCGGUCCGAAUCUCAGCCCAAACCGGGUUCUAUUGAAGCCCACAAGUCAGAAUUUCUGUUUAGGGCUUUAUUUAGAGUCCAAACAUAAAAAGGCUCUACAAGGAGAUUCAGAAGUUUGAUUUGGGCCCAUGAGCUAUCAAACUGAAGGUCUUGGUCCAAGCUACAACUUAAGCUCAAGAGAAUUAGGUUUUUCUGAAGACCUAAUACCUCUAGAAGACCAACAGCAGCAGCCACGAAUUUGACCUAAUUUGAAAGUCUUUGCAUGCAAGUAUUCUACUUUGUAAUUUCUAUAUAAGAGAAGUAGUAGCUAAGGUUUAGAUAGUUUUUAUAAAGAGAGAAAAGUGAAUAUUUGUGAGAGAAAGUUCAUCUUCUUCUUCUUUGUAUCAACUCAAUUCAAAUCAAUAUCAAUCCAUUAAUUUUCCAUUAUGAUGUCUUAUGAUUUAUUUAUUUAUUCCAUGGUGUCAUCAUCAAGAAUGAGUAGCUAAAUCUCCUUAGGGGAUGGUUGAAGCACUCUAGAUAAUGCGAAAGCACCAUGUUUGUUCUUAAUAUUCAUUGUGAUUCAAAGUACUUAAUGCUUAUUUACUUAUAUCCCGAAUAGGAGGUAAGUAUGAUUAUUUGUAUGUUAUUGUUAUCCAUGUUAUUAAAAUACUAUUGUUACGGUUUAGAGAGACCUAGCUUUAAUGGUUUUAUUUAUAUUGAUUAAAGAUGUGUUGUGAAUUAGCUGAGAAGUGAUUAUUACAUAUCUGCAGUUGAUAUCUUUUAUUGGAACCCUUUUGUAAUUAAGUCAAAUAGCUGAGAUGUGAUGAUUUAGUUAUGAAUUAAUAUGUUGAGUUAAUUAAAUUGAAUAGCUGAGAGGUGACAUUUUGAUUAAUAAGACAUAUUCAAUAGGAUGUAUAAGAGAAUCCCGUUUUAAUUGAGUGGAAUAGCUAAGAGGUGAUUACUUGAUUAUUAUAGGUAUUAAUAAUUAAUUGGAAUAGCUGAGAGGUGACUAAUUAAUUGUCCUAGAUUGAACAUGAAGGAACAACAUGUUAUGUUUACAUGAUUUAGUUUAUGGAUACCAAUUCUUCCCCCUUUGUUAUCAUAAAUCUUCUUUUCAUCUCUACCAUAUUCUUAAGUUAGUUUAUUUAAUUAUUGCCUGUAGGAAGUAUAAUCAAUGUCAAAUCUUGUUUAUUGAUUCCCUUGGUAUUUCUUAACAAUUGUUUUCUAUUGUGUUUGAGCUAAGAUCUCCCCUUUUGAGGUGGGUACGACCCUUGCUUGUUACUUGUCUACUUUCAUAACCAAUUUAUACAGGCACAAGAAGGAAAAUCUAAAAAAUCUAAUCUUUUGAUAGAGGUUAGAGAUUAACACUUUUUAGCCUCUAUCAGUAGGCGAUUGGAGCCAUUAGUUUGAACGUUUGUGAUGAUGUACGGUCCUUCCCAGUUAGCAUUAAGCUUUAUGAUGUUCACCUUUCUCUUGUUAUGGAACAUUCUUCUUAGUACGAGCUCUCUUGUUUAAAAAGCUCGAGGUCGUACUCCUUUGUUGUAAGCUCGUUUUAACCUUUGUUGGUAUUGCUCGAGCUUGAUGGUAGCAUGAUUUCUUCUUUCUUGAGCCAGGUCUAUCCCAAACGACCAAGCUUGAUUGUUAACUCAGUGUCGACCAGUAAUGAUUUGGUCAUGCCAAAAGUUAGCUUGGUUGGGAUGACAACUUCUACUCCAUAGAAAAGAUUAAAUAGAUACAUUCAUGUUGACGUUCUAGGAGUUGUUCUGUAGGCCCAAAAGAUGUUUUCUAGCUGUUGUGGCCAUUGGUCUUCUUGGUCAUUGAGCUUUUUCUUUUAGUUAGAAAGUAUUUGUCGGUUCGCAGCUUCGACCUGACCAUUACUCUAUGGGUAUCGAGGAGCGGACCUGGAGUGCUCGAUCUUCCAUAGCUCGUAGAAAGCUAUAAUGUUCUUUCCAACAAACUGAGUUCCAUUAUUAGUAACAACCCAUUUUGGCAAGUCAAAUCUGGUAAUGAUAUUUUCCCACAGGAAUCUUCUUACAUCUGCUUCAGUGACAUUGGUGAGAGCAAUAGCUUCCACCUAUUUGGUGAAAUAGUCAACUGUGACUAGAACAAAUCUCUUUUCGGACUUCUUUUCCUUAAUCACUAGGCCCAUGAUGUCAAGCCCCCAAAUGUGAAACGGCCAAGGAGCAGUGAUUUUGAUGAGGUCGUUAGGGUGCUAAUGAGUCGGCAAAACGUUGACACUCUUUGCACCUUAACACAAAUAUUUUUGCAUCUUCCUUCAUUCUUGGCGAAAAAUAACCUUGUGAGAUCGCUUUGUGAGCAAGUGUGCGACCUCCUGAAUGGUUUCCACAUUCCCCUUCAUGUAUUUCCUAAAAGACGAUUUGCCCAUGCUUGGGAAUUAAGCAUCUUAGGAGUAGACCAGUUACUGAUUUCCGGAAUCGCUUUCCUUCAUGUAACUUGUACAUAGUAACUUUAUGUAACAACUGGUUAGCUUCCUUCUUCAUUGUUGGGAGCUCGCCAGUUUGGAAGUAAUUGAUGAAGGGUUCCAUCCAAGUUCCCUUGAUGUCUUCUAAGGUCGUGUUGAGUAGGUCGUUAAUUUGGUUGACCUCUUCUUGCUUUUGUAAAUACGUAGAUAACGUGUUUACUGCUAUUGUUAGAGCUCGAGGUCGAUCUAAUUCGACCUUGGAUGCUAGGAAAGCGAGUGAAUCAGCAUGUCAGUUGUCAUAUCUUGGGAUGUGAUCGAUGGUGAAGAAACUGAACUUGCUGAUUAGUUUUUUUGCUUUGCUUGCAUAUCUUAUCAAAUUUACUCCAUGGAUUUAGUAGUUACUUAUGAUCUGAUUCACUACCAGUUGAGAAUCACUGAACACUUUGAGUCGAUCAGCUUGGAGGUCGAUGGCCAUUUGUAGACCUUGGAUUAGGGCUUCGUAUUCGGCCUCAUUGUUAAAGGCUGAGAAGUCCAAUCGAGUUGACCUCUCGUACUGUGAGCCCUCAUGUGAGAUGAGUACGGCACCAUUGCCAAUUCCAUUUGAGUUGUGUGAACCAUCAACGUACAACUACCAAGUGUUUGGUGGGUCGACUUGAAUUGGUCUGGUCUCUGGUUCUGGUUCCCAACUCAAAGGUAGUCUGCUAAGAAGUCAGCUACGACCUGGCCCUUAACGACCUGGCGAGGUACAAACUCAAAGGUAUAGUCACCAAGCUCAGGUGCCCAUCGAGCCAUACGACCUAUUUUGUUCUUCUUUUCUAGGAUGUGUUAUAGUGGUUGGUCGGUGAUUACUUUAACUGUGUGUGCUUGGAAAUAAGGUCUAAACUUGCAAGCAACAUAUAGAAGAGCUAAUGCUAGUUUUUCCAGAGGUGUGUACCUUAUUUCUGCUUGUUGCAACACCUUGCUUGUGAAGUAGAUUGGUCGUUCGACCUGGUUUUCCUCCUUGAAUAGUACCGCGUUGAUCGCAAAGUCUAAUAUGGCGAGGUAGAUUCCGAGCACAUCUCCAUCAUUAGGCUUAGUAAGAACUGGUGGAGUGGAUAAGUAUGCCUUUAGCUCGGCAAAGGCUUGCUCACAUUCUGCUGUCCAUUGAUAUGCAGCCCAUUUUCUGAGAAUAUGAAGCAUUGGUCGACAUUUAUCGGAUGCUCUAGAAAUAAAUCUAUUGAGAGCUGAUACCAUGCCGUUGAGUUUCUGAAUUUGUUUUUUUGUCUUCGGACUGGGCAUAUCGACUAGAGCUCUGAUCUGGUCAGGGUUUGCUUCAAUACCUCUUCUUGUGACUAAGUAACUGAGGUACUUCCCUGAUACGACCCCGAAUAGACAUUUCUCUGGAUUAAGCCUCAUCUUGAACUGUCAUAAUCUCUGAAAUGUCUGCUCGAGAUUGGCCAAGUGGUCUAGCUCGUGGUCGCUCUUGACCAAAAUGUCAUCGAUGUAGACUUGCAUUGUUCGACCUAGUACGUCGUCAAAUAUUUUGGUAACAAGUUGCUGGUAGGUCGCUCCUGGGUUUCUGAGAUCGAAAGGCAUCACUUUGUAGCAGAAGAUUCCUUGUUCAGUGGUGAAUGAUGUCUUGUCUUGAUCUGUCUUGUACAUUGGGAUUUGGUUGUAACCUGAAUAUGCAUCCAUGAAUGAUAGGAGUUCGAAACCACAAGUCUGAUCGACUAACCUAUCGAUUCGUGGGAGUGGGAAUGAAUCUUUAGGACAAGCUUUGUUUAAGCUUGUGAAGUCGAUACAAACUCUUGUCUUCUCAUUCUUUUUCAAGACUGGAACUAUGUUGGCCAACCAAUCUGGUGUGUCAAAUUCUUUGAUGAAUCCUACCUGUUUGAGUCUACUAAUUUCAUCAUUGACGGUCUGAUGAAAUUUGGGGCAAGUCGUCUUGGUUUUUGCUUGACAGGUCGAUAAUUGGGUUUUACUCGUAACUUAUGGUAUGCUAUUGAUGGAUCUAUCCCAGGCAUAUAAGUGUACGACCAAGCAAAGACAUCUUUAUUAAGAGAAAGAAAGUUUACAAAUUCAUUGUACUUAUCUGUUCCUAGCUCUGAGCCCACAUUAACAUACUUGGGGCCGUCCUCUGACCCUAAGUUAACUUGCACUCCUAGAUCUGUGCUUCCAAGUGAUAGUUGAGGAGAGCUCGCUUGCUCCUUCUUUAGUUGAUAUUUGGCCGCGUCUGUAGCAUCUGCUUUCCCCUUGGGAGGACUUUUUGUUGGAUUUGCGACCUCCUUGGUUCCUGAGGUCGUUGCCUUGUCAUUCGCCAUAGCUUCGAGGAUUCCAUGGCAUUCCUGUGCAGCGUUCUGGUUUCCUCCGAGCUCCACUAUCCCAUUAGGACCAUGAUAACGGAAUACCUGAUGAUAAGUGGAUGGAACUCAUCGCAUUGGAUGGAUCCAUUUACGAUCAAGUAUUGCAGUGUACUUACUUGCAAUGUUGAGGACAUUGAACUUGGCUGUGACUGAGUCUUUAUCUUCCUUCUUUCCCACAGAAACGGGCAGCAGUAUCUCGCCCUUGGGAUCCUCUCUCGAGCUGUUGAAUCCCAAGAUUGGAGUGAAGUCAGGAAUGAGGACUGAAUCAGGUAGCCUCAUAUCCUUAAAGGUCUUGUACAUCAAUAUGUUACAAGAUGCUCUUGGGUCGAUUAGGACCCUCUUGACGGUGUAAUCUGCAAUUUUUAAUUCAACGACCAGAGUGUUGUUGCGUGGAGUGACAACCUUGUUCAGGUCAUCUUUGGUGAAACUAAGAUCUGUUUCCUACCGAGCUGGAAUGCUAGUUCGAGCUGCUCGACCUGUGAUGGAGUAGACGUGGUGAAGGUGUUCUACUCGCCUCUUCUUUUAUCUUGAAACUGGUGUGGAACUGGACUCGUAGAUCACAUGACUCUCUGUCUCACUAUCUUCAUCUAUUUUGUUUGCGACUUGCUUGUUGAUUUGGUCGCGGAGGUCGCCGGUGGUACCUAAUCCUUUUGAGAGGAUUCGCCUUCUGUUGCGUGCUGGACUUAAAGAGGCAGUUCUUGCUUUGCUUUGAGAUCGUUUGGCAGAACGUGGAGGUAUUCUGGAUUCUUUCUAAUAUUUUUCACUGGAUUCUUCUUGUCUGUUGUAGAUCCAGUUAUUCAGAUUUUUCUCAUCAGCCAAUGUCUGAAGAGCUCGCUUCAGUAUGCGACAAUCAUCUGUCUGGUGGCACCUCACCUUGUGAACCUUGCAGUAUGGACGGCCGGACGUGUCCUCGAGUGCUGUGAAAUCUGGAAUCUUGCACCAGUGGUGAUGUUUGAUUCUCUCGAAAAUGUAUUCUGCAGGUCUUGUAAAUCGGUGAUAUUCGCGCUGCUCGGUGGGCAGUGCCUUAGCCCUGAAUCUCCUGUUCUUUUCUGAUCGUGGUCCUUUGGUGGAGCCCUCUUCUAAGUUUGCAAUAACAUGGCUUUUCACCCUUCCGACCAGAGUUUCUUCCAGUUUGAUAUAACGGUCUACCUUAAGAUAGAGCUCGUCUAGAGAGGUUGGCCUUUUCAUUGCCAAGUUCUUGUGGAGGUCGGAUCCAGGGAUCAGACCGUGGAAGAAUGCGAUGGUUGCAAAGGGUUCAUGAUCCUUUGCAAAAUCUUGAAUAAAGUGUAGUUCGAUUUUGAAUCGAGCGAAGAAAUCGCUCAGUAGUUACCCAUCUCUUUGCUUGACUUUAAGCAUUGCGUCGAUGGUGACUGGACGUUUUUUGUUAUGAAUAUAGAAAAUGACGAACUGUUUCUCCAGGUCGCUGAACGAGUUGAUUGAACCUGGCUUGAAACGGUGGAACCAAUCGAGAGCUGGACCGGUGAGGCUGGAUUGAAACAAUAGGCACAACAGAUGAUCUUCUUUGAUAAGAGGUAAUGAUUUGCGGAAACCCUUGAUGUGGUCUGUUGGAUCUCCAGCGCCUGAGUAUUGAUCGAACUUUGGAGCAUUGAGUUUGUUUAGCAAGUCUUGCUCUAAGAUCUCCUUGGUGAAUGGAGAUUCUUGGAAAUACUGCAAAGAUUGGACAGCGAGUUGCUCGGCUGUGCGACCUUUGCUCAAUUGGAUUGCGGCCUGAGAGGCUUUGAAUUCAGCGAGCUUUUGGCUGAGUUCUUCAUACUUGCGGUUGCUGUCAUUUGUAAUGACUGCUCCCUGUUCAGUGUUUGUAUCCGCAUCGCUUGCAGCUUUUAACUGAGCGUUUUCUUCCUGGAGACCUAAUUGGUCUCUCAGUUCCUGAAUGAUCUCUUCUUGUGUAGUCAUUUGAUGGAUAGAAAGGUGAAUGUGACUUUGAGUUGGGUGGGAGGGCUGGUUUUUCGAUAUAAUCGAAUCCUUACAGUCGGCACCAAAUGUAUUAACCUGUUUCCAGAUUAAUGCAUUAACUAGGUCAGGUCGCUGUUUGACUCACCAAGGUGGGAGUUUAAGAUCGGGGGUGGCUGCACCUUGGUGAGAUCGAGAUUGCCUACGUACUCUAGCUCGAGGGAGUGGAACUUAGAGAUCUGUUCUUAUAGAAGGUGAAAGGGCGCAGAUCAUGGGAUCGUGCGGAUUCUCCGACAUCUUAAUGAAUGCGUAACGUCUGGCAUUAAUUAUAUAACAGACCAGGAUAUUCUCUAAGCAUUGAUGAAGGGGCACGUGCGAAUAAAGAGGUCGCCAACGGUCAUAAGCUCGAGCUGUUCUAGUCGGAGUGAGUUAUGUCGUGGUGUGGGCGACCUGGUGGAUUGUUGAGCACGCCACGUGUCGUGUUUUGAUUGGCUGUUGUAUGUAGUACCCCUACAGAAAUGCAACGUGAAGUGGUCAAAAUGAGAAGGCAAGCACAAGAAAAUGAAGAGCAAAGACCAACAAGAGUUUGGUCAAAUGAAGAGAAUCUUUGAGGAACAAAUAGAAGAAAUGCAGAGAAAAUUUGAUGAACAAUCCAAGACAAUCACAACACCAUUUUAAGAAAUUGGUAAGUUCCUAAUAUUUGAGUUCGUAACAUUUAUAAACGUGUCGAAGUCCUGAUGUUUAUAUAUGUUACAAUUAUUACAUUAAUGUUACUAAAUAUUAAAAAUCAAUUUCAAUUAAUAGGAAACACUUGCCAAUAUUAUUCUAAAUUUCUAACAGAUCUAAACGUGAUUAAAGUCAUAAAAGAAUCUCCAAACAAAUAAAAGAAUGCUCUCAUGUGUUCGCACGAGGGGGAACCAUAAGUGUUUCAAGCGGUAUUACGUAUCCUAAUUUUUUUUUUUAGGCUCCGGAUUUUGCCAAGGGAAAAAUUGAUUAUGCCAAUGAUUAUUUGAUAACUUUACUAAUUUGCCCUUAAUUACUUUUCAUGAAAUAUAACACAACUGGUACAAAAUACAUAUAAAAUUAUAAUGACAGAUUUGCCCAUUGCCCAAAAAUAGGAAAAAUCUAUUAAUUCAUUAUUUCCCGCUAAAAACUAGGAAUCUCUCCCUCCAUAUGGUUUCAUCUUCCCAUACCUUACUAUUCUAUUUUCACCUUUCUUAGUUUCAUACACAAUCUCACAACCUAGAUCCAAAAUUCAUGACAAUUUUUAUACAUCAAUAAAGUCAACUCGGAGUAAGACUUUUUAAUAAUUGAUUUUAAUUAUUUUUGAUUGCAAACUUCGUUUAAAUUUCUUAUUAUUGCUUAAGAUUCUUAGUUAAUCAAUGUCAUAUAAGUAGUUAUAAUUACAUAUCUUUGUGAUGAACGGGAGAAAUCGACAGUAAUACCUGUCUACAAUUGUUGAAAUAGUUCUAUUCAAUAUUGAGUUCAUUGAGAAACCAGAGAAGUUUGGUCUCUUUUAUAUUGAUGGACUAAUUAAAUUCCUUUAUUUGGUACUGUACACAUUGCUAAACAUUUGACGCAAGGAAAAAACAAGGGCAACAUUUCUUAUUAAAUUUUUUAUUAUUAUUGUUGCUAUUAGUAAGAUUAUAUAAACCAGUUAUUUUAUUUUGAAUGCAGGGCUUAAACACUUCUUACAAGUAUUAUGGAUGCACAACAAGUGAAUCAUACUGUAAACGAUAAUGAACAUUAUGAGGCUACAAGUGUAGUUUCAGUAAACAAUGAAGAAAGUGAAAAUGAAGAAGUUUUUGAAGAUGGAAAAAUGCUUCCACCACCAGUGAGAACUUUUAAUAGCCGAGAAGGGCUACUUGAAUAUGUCCACGACUUUUCUUUAUCACAAGGAUAUGCUACAACUAUAAGAGAUUCUGAAAAGGAUAAAUAUGUUACAAUUGGUUGUGACGGAGGAGGUACCUAUAGAUAGAAGUAAUACAUCGAUUGAAGAACGGAAAAAGAAAAGUGGUUCUCGACUUAUUAAUUGUCCGUUUAGAAUUAAAGGUGUCAAACUAGUCGAUGGUUCAUGGAUAAUCAGAAUAAGCAAUGGAACUCAUAACCAUGAAGCAUCAAAAGACGUGUCUGGGCAUCCUUCUUUCCGUCGAUUUUCUAACGAAGAGUUAUUGAGGAUCAAAGAAAUGUGAAUGUCAGGCAUACCACAACGCCGGAUUCUUACUUCGCUUCGCCAGGCUAAUCCAAAGCUUAAAGCCAUAUCAAGGACAGUUUACAACACAAAAGCCAAGAUUCAUAAGGAAAAGCUACGAGGUCGAACACCUAUUCAAGCUUUACUUGAGGAACUCUCUAGUGGAGGAAUUUUACACAAUAUUAAAGUUGAUACAGAAGGCAGGCUUACUCAUUUGUUCUUUGCUCAUCCCCAAUCAAUCAAAUUAAGCAAGAGCUACCCAAAUAUCUUUGUGAUGGAUUGCACUUACAAAACCAACAAGUUCAAGAUGCCAUUACUUGAUAUUAUUGGAGUUUCAAGCUUUAAUACUUCUUUUUACUCGUGUUUUGCAUUCUUAUCAAAAGAGGAAACAAGUCACUAUGCUUGGGCUCUAAGUAUGUUCAAGGAAAUGUUAGGCAGCGAUGGGUUAUUGUAUCUGAUCGAGAAUUUGCUCUCAUGAAUGCCAUUGAGGUAAUUUUUCCAAGGACUAUAAACCUCUUAUGUUUUUGGCAUAGUGAAACAAAUAUUAUAGCAAAUUGUAAAAAGUUUUUCAAAGAAGACAAGGAAAAAAAAGAAAACGAUUGGGAUACAUUUAUGACUGGGUGGACUGAUCUGGUGCAAUCAGAUUCUGUGUCGUCAUUUAAUUCAGCAUGGAAAGAAUUUGAAGUGACUUAUAAGGAGAAAGUUAAUGUGGUUGAUUACAUGAAAAAGGAUUUGGCUACCGCUCAAACAACAUUUUGUAAAGGCAUGGACAGACAUUCACUUGUACUUAGAAAAUCGAGUUACUUCGAGGGCAGAAGGUGCACAUGCAGUCCUUAAAAAAUAUUUGCAAUUUUCUACUAGUGAUCUCCAUGUGGCGAAAGAAAAGAUAUGUCUUGCAGUUGAAAAUAAUUUUCUAGAAAUCAAGACAAAACUUGCAAGUGAAAAGCUCACACUUCGUCAUAACAUAUGUGUUCCAUUUUUCAAAGAAGUUGUCUAUUGUAUAUCAGCAUUUGCCAUGGAGAAGCUAUUUGAACAAAAUAAAUUAGCUUUAUCUGAUUCAAGCUUGCACGCAUGUAAACGCCAGUUUGUUGCGACGAUGGGUCUUCCUUGUGCAGAUAUGAUGAGAUGUAUGAAAGAUAGAGUAUUAUGGCUUUCUGAUAUACACCCACAAUGGAGAAUUGAUAAACGGUCAUUUGAAGAUGAUGACAUUGUCAUUGAUCCAGGCAAUACAAUAGAUUCACUCACAGGUUUACUUCAAGAACUAGGAAAGAAUUAUCACCAGUGGCCUAUAGCUCAGAAGAUAAUUGCUCAAGAACGUCUAUCUCAACUUAUAGAUUAUUUUGUGCCUAUUGUGUUUGAUCCUCCUAUUCAUUCCCAUAAAGGGCGUCUAGCAAAUUCGAAGACUGAGAAAGUGUCCAGUUCCACUAGAAGGGAUCCGUCAGCAUUUGAGAUAGUUGAAAAGUCGAGAAAGUGCAGUAAUUGUCAUGAAGUUAGUCACAAUAGUCGAACUUGUAAACGUGUUAAUGUGACUCAAGAAUCUGCUGUUAUUGAGCUAAAUCUAGCUGAAAAGAACACUUUAGAUGGGAUGAAUUGGAACUCCAUGCCUAUGGACACAUUGGGUAAAUAUAUUUCUAUUGUUUGAUGCCAAUUUUAUAUUAAUUGUUUUUACUUACGUAGUUCAUAUAAUCUACCUAGUUUAUAGCAUUUGUCAUAAUGUCUAUCAAUAUUAUUUUUAUUCACAGGUCUAGAAGAAUGAAUUAGGAAGAGACAUGAUACAGUACCUAAAAGCUUUGCAAGGAUUGUGGUAAGUUUGAACUUAUAACAACUUUACUAAAAUCCUUAUAGCAUGCACUUUUAUUUUUCAACAAAAUGUAAAAAUGAUAUUGAUCAUGAAACCAAGUAUAAAUAGUCUGACCAACCUGCAUUUUCAUGCAUUAUGCAUCGUCAGGUUACCCCAAAGGACAACACAUCUUUUACACAACAACCUAACACCCCAACUAAUUACUUUACAGUACAUGUAACAGAUACAAGAAAAACAGAAAUACAAAGUAACCUAUAGUCUGGUUCAGCAACAACUCCAUCUUGCCCUUCACAGUAGCAUCCUUAAGUACAGUCCUUCCUUAGCCCAUCCCUGCCCUGCAACGUCAUUGUCCUGCAACAGUAGGAUACAUAUGCCUUAGAGUCGACGUAUGUAUUUAUUAUAACUUACACACAUAUUUUCUCUACAGGGUACUUUUGAGGAUUAGGAGAAAAUAAUAAUUUGAUGAAUAAGGGCGGAUGCAUGGGAAGAAUGUUUGGUUUUUCAUUUGGUUGUCUUCGUAGGAGAAAAUAAUUUUAUCGAUGUCGAUCAAGUAGGAGUUACAAGCUUUUAAAUUUCUUUUGUAAAUUUUAAUGAUUUCAUUAUUUUGAGGUACUUUGCCCAUUACUUAAUGGCUUCAGACCUUCAGUUGAUGUUAGUUGUUCAAUUUGGUUGAAGUAUCUCUUUUAUUAAUUCAAUUUUUCUGAGAAUAAAUUUAAAUCAACCAUGGCUGAAGUUCAACAUCCACAACGUAACAUAGUCAUAAUGGACAACAAAGUCCAACUGAUGCUAUCAAGAGUAUGUUACCUAAUAGAGGCCUAACAGCUUCUCAAGACAUUGUAGUGAUCACACAUUCACACUAAUUCCUUUGGGUGGUCUUCUUCUUACUCUUGCUGGUCUUACUUGCUACAGUUGUUGGUCUAGCUACGACCACACCACUUAUCAUCCUUUGUAGCCCAGUGUUAGUGCCUGCUGCACUCACAACUGGUCUUGCAGUCAUUGCGUUUCGGGUGGACUGAUAUUUCGAUGAGUCAGACCUAUAAGAUUUUUUCAAACUAAUAUCUUCUUUUGUUAAGAAUUAAUAGAUUUUUCCUAUUUUUGGGCAAUGGGCAAAUCUAUCAUUAUAAUUUUAUUUGUAUUUUGUGCUAGCUGUGUUAUAUUUCAUGAAAAGUAAUUAAGGGCAAAUUAGUAAAGUUAAGAAAUAAUCAUUGGCAUAAUCAAUUUUUCCCUUGGCAAAAUCCGAAGCCUUUUUUUAUUAUUCUUUCCAAACUUCUAAGAUGUCUCUGAAGAACCCAAAGAGCAAUCCCAAUAAGAGGGCAGUUUGGUGCCCUCCACAUAGGUGCCACAUAAGCAAAACCACCUUAAAAAUCACUUUCUCUCCAUGGUAGUCAAAACCCCCUGCGAAGUGGUGCCAAUGGGAAAAUUUGGAAAUGUCAGUUUACAAAACUUUUAAUGGCUUAUAAGACGGAACUUUGAGUUCUGCUUACCAAAUUUUGUAAGUGUUAUAAGACGGAACUUCGAGUUCCUGAAAAGUUAGUCUAUAAGACGGAACUUCAAGUUCCAUAUACGAUAUAAAGUGUAUAAGACGAAACUGUGUGUUCCGAAAAAGUAUUAAACCGGAACAUGGUGUUCCGUCUUAUGCAAUUAACAUAUAAAGUGUAUAAGACGGAACUGUGUGUUCUGAAAAAAUGUUAAACCAAAACACGGUGUUCCGUCUUAUACAAUUAACAUGACAUUUUGAAUGGCACUCUACUCCCCUCUCAAAUGCCAUUGGAACUUCUAUCCACCGUUGAAUAUUUGACCCACCGUUCUAUCCGUUGGCGAAGGAAUUUUAGCGGAGAGUGCAUUUCAUACUACCGCCCUUCUCAAAUGCCUUCCCAUUGGGAUUGCAGGGAAAAAAAAAACGGACCCAAUUAAGGUGUGGAAAUAUAAGAUUGAACCAGUUAGGGAACUAAUAGUAAAAUAGGCCCAACCGCUGAUUUUCGUGUCUUAUGGACUAGUUUACCCUUCGACUGAUGCAAAGACUUGUUUGCAUAUCAUAAACAUAUAAACAUACUUAUUAAUAUCAGUCACAAUACAAAUAUAAAAUGCAAAGACUUGUUUGCAUACUUGCAAACAACAACAUAAACCAUAAAAUGUAAAUGCAAAGAAUUGUUUGCAUACUCGAAACGACGACAAGAUAAACUAGAAAAUAUAAAGACUUGUUUGCAUCAGUGACAACACAUAAAGAUUAAAUGCAAAAACUUGUUUGCAUACUCGAAACAAUGACAUACCAUAAAAUGCAAACAUUUGUUUGCAUAAACCAGAAGGGUAUUAUCGGUAGUGAAAGGGCCGUUUUUACAAUAUCAACGUUAAAUGGGUCUUUUCUUAUUUUACAAAUGCUUAAUGAGGGCCAAUUUUACAAACCGGGUCUUAGUUGGGCCAAUUGUGUUUUAUAGGUGCUUAAUGAGGGCCUAGAGCCAUUUCCAUGUUGGGAUUGCUCUAAGUGGCUCUAUCCUCAAGCUUUCUUCAUCUAAUUUAUCUCUCAUCUACAAAGAUUUCCUCAUCGUCGUUGUAUCUCUUGGCUUCUCAAUUUUUCUGGUGAGUGUUUUAGAACAGAACAUAGCUUUAGAAACUUUAGAAAAUUCAGUAUAUUAUUCUUAUAAGAAGUUGUGGAUCGAAUUGAGACCUUAAUUUUUCUUAACGAUUCAAUACAGUUUGGGUGGUUUGAUUUGGAAAUCGAAACCACUUUGGUAUUUGCUCAUCAAAGUCUUAAUACAAGGUGGUGGACGCUCAAUUUUCUGGUGGAAGGUUGUGCGAUUUUUCAAUCAGGUAAUUGGGAAGUUUCAAUUUCACAAUUUUUAUUGAGAACUUUUGAUUUUGCUUUGAAAGUCUUAACACUAAGACUGAUCAUAUUUUCUGCAACACCUUUGCCAUGAUAUAUUGUUAUUGCUUGAUUUCUUCUACUAUGAUUUGAAACCUGUACUUAAGUAUUUACAAUUGUGUUUGAGAGAUGGUAAAAUUUUGUUUUGAAUCUAGAAUUCUAGAGAUUAUAUCUCUAUCAUAGAAAUGACAAAUCAACUUCAAGAAAAAAAAACACAAGAAUGUAUUUGUGAUAUUGUACUUUCAACUGGUCACCUAGAUUAACUACCCUUUCACUCUUCUAUACUAAACCCUGACUACGAAAUACCACUUUACCAGUCUAUUUUUCUGUAAAGAUUUCAAUAAUCAUGGCUAUAUGGAAGAUUUGAAUUUACACAACUCCAACAAUUAAUAGUGGUUGAAGAUGAAGUUGUCAGUAAGGAGACUAGGCUAAUUUUUUCUUCUUGUCUUGCUAGAAAUUAAGAGUCAACUUAUUAGGGUUUUUUUUUCUGCCUUUACAAGUUUACAGAUUGUUUCAUUCAUAGGAGGGCAAAAGAAAGUAGUACAAAAUUCUCUGCCCACACCAACAGCUACCAGAUAAUCAGCAACUCUGUUGGCUUCUCUAUAGGUGUGGGCAAUAAAAACACUAACAAAUCUAUUACAAACAUUAAGGGUAGCUCUGAGUAAGUUUAAACAAUACCAAGGAGGAGUCUCUCUCUUCGGCAAACAGUUGACAGUUCUUAGUGAGUCUAUUGCCACAUUACCUUCUUGUUUCCAUCUGGUAGGCUAAUUCUAGUCCCUCCUUUACAGCACUGAGUUCUUGCCAGAUAACAGAGUUGACUGGACUUGCACCCAUGAAAGCACUAAUCACCUGGCCUUCAUGAUUCCUUAGAAUACCUCCAAUACCCGCGCCCUUAUCAUUCACAACACCACCUAUAUUGAUCAUUACUGUAUCAAUCUCUGGUCCCUUCCAUUUGAACAUCUCGACAAUUCCGUCCUUCAAAAUAGCGGUAAUAUUAGGUCUGUCAAGUAGGGCUUUAGUGGCAAAGCUAUCUGCAUUUCUAUUUGUCUUGGAGAAGGCAGGGCAUGAUAAUACGUCAGGUUAGUUAUUCUGAGUUUGGAGUUUGUUAGAAAAAGUUUUUUUUUUUUUGCAUAUGUUUUAACUUAAUUCUUUGGUUGUCACUAAGAAGACUUAAGGUUAUGAUGAAAAGAUUUUUGUUAUGUAAUCUAAGUUCUUUACAUUUUAUUUUGUUUUUAGUUACAGAUAAUCGAAAUCAUCUUGACUAUUUGAAUUUUUGUGGUACAAUGAUUUCUUAGUGCAAGGAUUUGGUUUCAAAUUGUGGCAGUGCAGAUUUUUCAAGUGUGGAUCUACCUAGUUCCAGAUUAUGUGCUGAUUCUUAGUAAGAGAAGUGAUUUUUUUUCUUGUGUCUAUAUACUUUAAGAAGAACUGAUAUUGUUUGGGACCCCUUAAUGGUACAAUACCACAUUUACAACUGCUCUGGUAUUCUGCCUCUCAUGCACACAGUUUUUUUUUUUUUUUUGGUACAAUCAUGCACACAAUUAUCUACACCCAGUGUUACAUCCCUCGCUUUAAUAAAAAGGCUUGACUUAUGUAUUGUGUAGUGGGAGUUGUCUUUAUCCUGCACUUUUUCUAUUAGGUGUACUCAUGUUGAUUGUUUUUCUGGUUAAUGAGGUUGCUAUGAGUAAUUACAUUAAUUGGGCAUAUAAAAUUGAAGUUUCUUAAAUUUGUUUCAUUCAUUUGUUUUUCUUGUGGAAUAUAUUUCUUAAGCUUUUCUGUUUCACAAUGUUUCACAAGACGAAUUCGGAGCAUAGCUUAAGGAACUAGGAGUUGAGUUUGUGGAACUUCUUCAGACUACAACUAUUGCCACAACAUCAUCAAAGCAUGUUCUAUUCUGCUGAAUGUAGACUAGAAAAGCAUCUGGAUUGACAUGAUAUUGUGGCAGAAUGUAGACUGGAAAAGCAUGCAUUCUGGAAAGAUAUUGCAGGAAAAUGUAGACUAGGUACAGGGGAUGCAACUGAGGGUGAACUGGCAAGUCACUGGAGAUUGACAAGUAGCAUUUGGACUAGAAGAAUACUAGAGUUUACGUACUGUAAGUGUUUUUACUAUGUUUCUUUGUAUGGGGGAAGGAUAACUAUUGUAUUAAGUGGAAAUGUUCUUCGAGUUCUAACCUGACGGAACAGUUGUCUGCAUACUGAUCAGGAGUGUAAGUUUUGUUUUACAACCUUUUAGUUGAGUUAAUGGGAUGAAUGCCGUAACGUUGUAACAAUUAUAUCUAAUAUAUACUUGAGUUAAUGUGAUGAAUGUCAGAUGCCUUGAUUUGUCGUGUGAAUGAAUAUAUGGUUACUAGUAAUACCCGUGGCGCUGCCACGUUCGCCAA